This 63742-nucleotide long non-coding RNA is filed under the name Coffea arabica (coffee). RNAcentral's name for it is "long non-coding RNA (CARA_LNC000717)". The record is from RNAcentral. Lineage: Eukaryota; Viridiplantae; Streptophyta; Magnoliopsida; Gentianales; Rubiaceae.
UUUUUUUUUUUUUUUUGUCAGCAACGAUACAUGUGUAUAAUCUACUCUAUCCUAAUCUAGGGGGAGGGGGAGCCUAAGGGGGCUGUUGUAGGAGCUAGUGGGUAUACAGACUCAACUAGACCAAGGAAGUGCUAUGGCACAACCCUUAGAUUUUUUUCGCUGCUGGUGAGGGUUCACACAGCCCAAGGAGGGACUUAAUCCCUCCCAGGUGGCCACUGAGCCAUUGGCCCAGUGGUUAAUUGGAUCAGAAUAGAAUGAACUGAAGAGGCGCUUGAUCUAGAGAAAGCUCCAAGGCUAGUAAUAUUGAUCAUGCAUCACAAAUACGUGAUUAAAGAUCCAUAAAACAUGUUUUUUUAUGUUUCUUUUUCUUUAUUUUUUUAAAAAAAUCUUUCUUGGGAUGGGUUUGGGAACACUGCACGGCUGGAAAUUAUAUUGACUAGAACGAAAGUUUAACACCAAAUAAAUUGAUCAAUCAACACAACAAGCUCCCGGAUACAACACAACAAGCGCAGUGGGAUUAGUCGGGCCCGGAAUAUUACUCUGUUGAAUUCCGAAUAAUCAUCAGAUACUCACUGUGUCCGAAAAAAAAACACACACACACACACACACACACACACAACAAGCUCAAUUAAUGUAAUUGAGAAUAUUAAAGAAUGCAUGAUUAACAAGUAUUUAAUGGACUCUCGUUAAGAGGAGUUUCAAAUAUUAAUUUUUUUAAAAAAAUGUAAUUAAUUUAGAGAGUGUCACAAUUUAAAAGGUGCAAUAAUUGUGAGUGUCUGUAUUUAUAUAAUAAUAAUUUAAGUGUUUUAACAGGUUCCCGUUAAGUCACGUUUGAAAAAUCUAAUAAAAAUAAUAUGCAAAUCAACUUUGCCGGAUGCUGGCUGACCAGCUGUUUGCCUUCACACUUACCCUUCAACGGCGAAACGUACUAUUCUGCCACUUUUACAAUAGUUAGGACAAUAGUUAGUAGUAUGUAUAUAUAUUCAUCGGAGAAACCAACUUAAUGUGGGAUGCAAGUAUAGCUCAUAUUCACCUUUCUGCAACCUUCCCUCAGACCAUAUACCCGACAAUCCAUCAAAGCCCAUAAAGAGAAAGAGAUCAUCAUCAUGGUUUCGUCUCGGAAUCCGAGUUCCAUAGCAUCAGAAAGAGAAGUUGCUGAUAAUCUUCAACCGACUGGAAAUGAUCAAAAGCAGGAGCUUGAUGCUGGAGCCCUCUUUGUCCUCAAAUCUAAAGGUAAGUUGUUCUCUUGCUUGCCACCCUUAUCAGAAAUUUUUUUUUUUUUUGGUAAAUAUCAGAAUUUUUCAUUUGUUCCUCUUUUCUUGCUUUCCUUUCUUUAUUUGUUCUUUUCUUCUUGCCCAUUUCAUUAAAGUCCAUCAACGCAUAUUCACCUUUGACUAAACGCCGUCGAUGAAAUAGACAUGCACGAUUGAUGAUUAUCAUAAUAAAUCUUUAAAUUUCAAGAAAGAGGUGCUUUUUGGCAGUAAAUUUUUUUGUUUUUUUUGCACUUUUAGAACUAUCUGUGCUUCUUUAAGAUAGGAGAUGGUGUUGCUAUGAGCUCUUUUCUGCAUUAAUAAUGCAGUAAUUCCCACAUACAAAUACAAUGGAUCAAUACUUUAACAAGUAUCCACUUUGUCUUUUUGCUAAAAUUGUACAAAAAUGGAGAAAAAUAUUCCACAUACCCUAAACUCUCAUGGUGCCCCUUAUCUAGUUAUAGCUCAGGUCCACGAUAACAACUUUUAUGAAUAUAUGGCCUAAUAUCGCAGUAUUCUUUUUCCAUAGAAAAAAUGGUCUUCGAGUCGAUCUUCCCAACUUAUUACAAGCAAGUUUGUCAAUUUGGAUCAUGAAGUGAAUGCAUUAGCUGUUGAGUUUCCAAGCUUCCAUUUUCUUGAAAUAAUUGCUUGUGUAUCAUUAUUGGGAUUUUGACAAUAAGCUGAUUUUUUUCACAUGAAAACUUCUUCUUGGCUGUGUACCAAAUAUUAGGCUUGAAAAUUAGUAGUAGUAUACUAGAAGGAAUGGGAAGAAAGAACCGGACAGGAGAAGUGUGAGAACGGAAAUUGAGAUGAGACAUGUUUGUUUUGCAUUAAUUCGUGGCUGGUUUCGAGAUUCUAUCAGCAAUUUUAAAAGAACCAAAAUUUUCUAUGACCAAGAAAUGCACAUGUCUUCGGGUAUGGUCAACUUGGUAAGCAAAUAAAUUAUAUAUAGUUUCUUUUCUUUUGCAUAUCCAACAAAUAUAAUGUUCCUUGAAUAUAAUUUCUCAUUACCAAUACAAAGGUACAUUGAGGAUUAAUUCAUUAUUUUAUAAUUAGCUCACUACUUUUCUUUUUUUUUUAAAAAAAAAAAAAUUCAACUUCCAAACUAGACCAAAACUAAUAUAUAUAUAUUCCACAGAAGACAUAUGUGUUAUUUUUCAUCUUUUCAUUUUUAUUCUCCUAUAAUCAAUCUGUAAACUCUUUCUAAAUCCAAAAGUAUACCUACCUGAAUAAGGUUGCUGAAUUCAGUGGAAGGUGACAUAUGUGUUAUUGACUCUUGUCUUGUAUAUGGUGGCUAAAGAUAAGAAUACUAGUAGUGUGAUUCUCAGUUUUUUUUUUUUUUUUUGGUUGGGUGGGGAGCAGGAUCGUGGAUGCAUUGUGGAUAUCACUUGACAACUUCCAUAGUUGCACCUCCACUUCUGAGUCUGCCAUUUGCCUUUGCUUCACUUGGAUGGGCCGCCGGAGUGAUUAGUCUUGUCAUCGGAGCUGCUGUCACAUUCUACUCCUACAAUUUGAUAUCUCUAGUGCUCGAACACCAUGCUCAACUGGGUCACCGGCAACUCAGAUUCCGGGACAUGGCUACUGAUAUUUUAGGUAAAUUCUCCCCAAACCCCCUCCCCCAACCCCCACAAAAAUCUCGGAAAAAAAAAAUUAAUAGAAUUAAUUUUUUAUGCAUUGUCAAUAUAAGAAUUUUAUUAACUCUGCACAAAUGUAUAUAAAAAUUUUUUGAAAAGUUAGUCCUGAUUAAAAAUGAAAAUUCUGAUAUGAACCCAUUUUGCUGACUUUUUGUUUCACGAGGACAUGCAAUCUCGCUCCAUUAUCAGGUAUACAUAUUUAUAAGAAAAAAUUUGACUAGAUCGAGUGUAUAAAAGAAGGCCUCAAUAAUAAGUGAUCCCAAUCCAAUAAUAGUUCGAUGGACGAUGCUAGAGCGUACUUUAGAGUCCAAAACUUUGGUUCAAACUUAGAAUUGCUUCUCUUGGUGACUUCAUGUUAAAGAGUGCCGUAAUGCUCUAUUUGUUCUAGUAUUUGUUUUCGGUUGACCAGACCCCUAAGCGGUGGUAUUGGUGUUGAGAGUUGAAACUGCCAUUUGGCCUUUUCGACUCUUAUCAAUAUUUUUGAUCGGUGGCCAUUAUAAAAAUUCAAAGAAUACCUAUUUCUUAAUAGUCAAAAGAAAACGCCAGCCAUCAAACCACGACCCAACUGACUCACGAUACAGGAUUUCUGAAGCUGAGAAUUCUGCAUCGACAAUUUCUGUAGCUAGUAAGGAAAAUACUAACCCUGCCUCUAUAAAGCUGUCGCGAGUCUUUUUCAAGUUUAUUUCAACCUAAGUUUUUUUUUUUAAAAAAAAUUCUAAAUAAAUUUAUCUGUUCUAUUAGGAUCACCAUUCUUGUCUUGUCUUGUAAAUGAAAAUUGUACUGGUUUAAUUAGUUUUCGUUCAUCAUAGUAGAGAAGAAAAAUAGAACCGCUAAUAAAUUUAUUUUACUUCUAAUUCAAUUUAGGAAAACCUCUUUUAUGUUGAAAAUAAAGAGGAAAACCUCUUUUUGAUUUUACAUGAGAGUUUGAGCGCUACGUUCUGCGGGCGUUCCAUUUGGACUGCAACAGUAUCAGAAUCCUUUUGAUCCCUUUAUCAUUGCCAAAGUCCCACACGUAAGCCCUUCAGCUGUUAUUGUCUAUGUUGGUCUCAUUCAUAGAUGUCAAAGUUUUCUUUAUCCAAGACAAAAUAGAUGUCACAAUUUUGGUAAGAAAUCUUGUGAUUUUUAUUGCGAUAUUAAUAAGGAUUUUGUAUAUGUGACGUGCAUUUGAACACGUUAAAAUAUAAAUCAUUAGUGUAUAAAAGAUUAUUCCAUUAACGAUGUUUUUCUUUUUCUUUUUUUUUUUGUGAUUGGAUUAGUUCUUGGUCAAAACUGAAAAGAUAGGUACUUAACUGCAUGUGGACACUCAAGAAUAUUCUAGGAUGAUUGCACAAGUGAAUUUCAUUUAGAAUUGAUGAUAUUUUCUUUUUCACAUUAUGUUGUUAUACUAGAUAUUUAACUUCAAAUGCAAUCGUCUCGUAUUUUUCUUCUUACAAGUUACAAAUUCAACUUUCAAUACGUACAAGUAGGAAAGACCUUCCUACAUUUUUUGAGUAUAUGUCAAAAAAGAUUAUCAAGAAAGAAAGACUGGACACAUCGGCCAAAUGACAAGGAAGUUCCUACCGACCUCUUAAAUUCUAGAAUAAUUGCAGAUUUUCCUUUCUCGUUCCAUGGAUUAGUACCUAUUCUGCAUGACAUUGGCUUAUUCAUAAUCCAACCGAAUUCUGGCCUUACAAAUCCAAUUUUGGCAGGACCAAAAUGGGGAAAAUUUUAUGUAGGUCCAGUCCAGUUCUUGGUGUGCUAUGGUGCAGUUGUAGCCUCUACUCUUCUGGGAGGGCAGUGCUUGAAGGUCUGUUUCGUUUUAACAAUAUGUUUCUAACACCACUUUCCUUCAGCCCAAGAAAUUUUGAGCAACUGAGCAUGAAAAUGAUGGACGGGGCAUACCAUAAGAAAGAUAAUGAUAACAAUAAACCAUACGUUGAUGAAGAAGAAUACAGAUUUACUCAACCUGUCGACUCCUUUUGCAGGCAAUCUACGUGUUGGUAAAUCCAAAUGGAGAUAUGAAGCUCUAUGAAUUUGUGAUCAUAUUUGGAGGGCUAAUGCUGAUUUUAGCUCAGAUGCCAUCUUUUCAUUCGCUUAGGCAUAUCAAUCUGGUCUCUUUAGUACUCUGUCUGGCCUACAGCGCCUGUGCCACUGCAGGCUCUAUUUACCUUGGUAAGUACUAUUAAGUAAUGUCGGUACUGCUAAUUGAAACAGCCUUUAUUUGAUAGAAAGAUGGUAUAUAAACUUUGGCUGCAUAAUUUUUUCUCAGGAAAUUCAUCUAAGGGACCAAACAAGAACUACUCCUUGAGUGGUGGUACUGAAACUAAAGUUUUUGGCAUCUUCAAUUCGCUGGCCAUUAUUGCCACCACUUAUGGAAAUGGGAUCAUUCCAGAAAUUCAGGUCCCUUUUCAUUCCACUCAAACUUUGACCAAACAAAUAAAGAUUAAGAUAGAUGGCUAUAUGACUUUUUUUUGCAGGAUUAAAAGGUUUUCAAGGUAUCCAUGCAAAUGUACAAACUUAUUGUAUCAAUCCUAAUGGAACAUUUCUGAUCAUUUAUUUACAGGCGACAUUAGCACCUCCAGUAAAAGGCAAGAUGUUCAAGGGACUCUCUGUUUGUUACAGCGUAGUCACACUGACCUUCUUUACCGUAGGCAUUUCUGGCUAUUGGGCCUUUGGCAAUGAAGCUGAAAGUCUAAUCCUAAGCAACUUCUCAGAUAAUGGAAAAGCUUUGCUGCCCAAGUGGUUCAUUUUUAUGACCAAUACUUUCACCAUUCUCCAACUAUCAGCUGUUGCUGUGGUAAAGACCAAACACUAUUUAACUUUUAGCACAUUCUCUCUGAGUAAUCAAAACCCAAAUAUAUGAGCAGCCAACCCCAAAAAAAAAAAAAAGAAACAAGAUCGUAAAAAUUUUGGAAUGUAAUGUUUAUUGUUCAUUACAUAUAAAUUUUCUCCUUAUACCGUUUAGCUGUCUAUAUUAGUCAGGAAUUUAGGAUUUAGAGAUGAUACUUUGUCUCACUUUUUGAAGCUUUUGACAAAUUGAAAUCAUAAAUUCUUUCAGUGACAUGAGUUUUUCCUACAAGUUAAAGUGGAGCUUAGGGCACUCUUUCUUACAAGUGUUCUGCAUCAAAUUGGCAUAAUAACAACAUAGCAAAUUAUGACUUCUGCCACAGGUGUACUUGCAGCCUACAAAUGAAGUUCUUGAAAGUACGUUUGCAGACCCUAAGAGCAGUGAAUUCUCUGUUCGAAAUAUUGUUCCAAGGGUAAUAUUGCGGUCCAUAUCAGUUGUUAUAUCAACUACAAUUGCAGCUAUGCUUCCAUUUUUUGGAGACGUUAAUGCUUUGCUUGGAGCUUUUGGUUUCAUGCCACUCGAUUUUGUCCUUCCUGUUGUCUUCUUCAACUUGACAUUCAAGCCAUCAAAGAGAAGCCCCAUUUUUUGGUUAAAUGUCACUAUAGCCGUGGUUUUCGGUACUUUGGGGGUCAUAGGAGCAGUGGCUGCAGUGAGACAAAUUAGUCUUGAUGCUAAAAAUUACAGGUUAUUUGCCAAUGUAUGAUUAGAUAACCAUGGCUAGAAGCAAAUUAUACAGCGAUCUUAUUUUGAUGUACCAAAAGCUUUCACCUGUCACUGUCAAAUAUCUAUUAGCUAUAGCACAUUUUUUAUCAUUUUUUCGACAAAUAAAGUACAAUUGCUUGUAUCCGAUGAGAUAUUCAGGCAAAACUGACCUAUUUGAUUAGUGAAUUCAUGGUUGCCACCAUGGCUAGCAGCAAAUUAUACAGCGUUCUUAUUUUGAUAUACCAAAAGCAUUCACCUGUAACGUAUGUAUUAGCUAUAGCACUCUUUUUUGUUUUUUUUUUGGUUGACAUAGAAAGUACAGCAACUUGUAUCUGAUAAGAUAUUUAAACAAAACUGAUCGAUUUGAUUAGUAAAUUCAAAGUUGCCAGCCUUAAUCAAUUAGCCAUUUAAUGAAAUGAUCUCACGUUUCACCAGAAUCUACCACUCUUUCUUGGUUCAACAUAAAAAGAGUAACCCUCUGUUCAGUGUCUACAGCUCCUAGAGCUAGCUAACAAAAAGUGCUAUUCAACACCUACAAAAUCCCUCAAAAAACUAUGGACCGCUCCAUCAAUCAGCCAAAUGAAGGCAAGGAUCUUGAAAUUAUUAAAUUACUUGGGCUGUUGCUUCUUUACUCAGAAGAAAAGUUCAAACAAUGAGAAACUAUAGAUGGUAACACGUCAUUCAACUUCAUCCAAAUGUCCGAAGAGUUCUUGCCAAUGAAUUGCAGCUUCUUCAGGUGACCGAAGGGACCAUAUAUGAUUGUUGGCCUGCUCACGUUUCUCGAGGAUUUCCUGCAUUUAGAAGACUAAAUUGGUAAUCGGUUGAAAAGCAUAAAACAGAAGCACUAUGGAAUAUAAUCCGACUUUUCAUACUCCUUCCAAAAAGAAAAGUCAUCUAAGAAUAAUCUGAAGGUCAUGAAGUAAUAAGAGGGAAACAAUAGCAGGAUCAAAUCCCAAGUACAAGCAUUAAUGACAACAGUGUCUGGCGAAUUGUUUUCCAGAUGUUCCUCUGAACAUGAUGACAGCUGAUUUAAUAAAUAAGCAGAAAAAGAAUCCACCAUUUUCCAGAGUGGUCAUGUGCAUUGAUAAAUUUAUAGUUUUUGCUUCUAGGCACCAACUUCAGAAGCAAUGCCACACCAUGUUAUUUGAACACAGCACUUAUUGAAUAUGCUUUUGAUUUUUUUUUUAGCCAAAAUUAACCACCAAUGGAUUGUAGUUAAAAUACCACAAAGAUGGCUAAGGAGAAACGGAAUGCUAAGACGCUGGCUUUUACGUAUCACAACUUACUGUACUGUCACACCCAGUUAGAGAAACUACACUUGCAUAUCAGUCAGGAACUAUUAACUUCUUAGCUGGUAAAAGAUCCAAAAAUGCAAUAAGGCAAUGACAAUUUGGAAACAGUAGGGAAAACAAGCAUCCCUCAAUGCACCUAUAUGGCAUAAAUCUUCAACAAAUGCUCUCAGUAUUGAAACAACAUGCCAUGGUACCGAUCUUAAACUAGUCCAGUGAAGCACAACUUUUGGAUUUAUUGUCUCAUGCACAUUGCAGCAAAUAAACAAAGCAAAAUGACCGAGUUGGCUGUUAUUUUCUGUAGGGGCAAUCCAAAUCUUUUUAAGAUUUAUUUCAAGAAAUAGCAAAUCAUCAUUUAAUUUCUGUGCAGUACCAAACAGUAAUUAAUAGGUCAAAGAAUAAUCCGACAAACCCCACAAUUAAUAAAAUGUUUUUACCUUAAACUUACUGCAACCUUUAUUUAGGAACUCAGACUUCCUAUUUAAAAAGUGGCAAUCCAAAUGUAGUCAAGAAGAAAUUUAAGGACGAAAUAGAGUUGAUUCCUCUUUUAGCUACAUAUGAUGCUCAGAAGUACUUGGAAACUUAACUUUCUCAUGGUCUUGAUUGUUUGUCCCAUAAAAUUAAAAACCGGUAGGUCCAAAAUACGGUAGUUGAUUAUCAUUCCAAGCAUAAUCAUGGGGAUCAAAAUUGCACCAAUUAUUUUCUCUGAUAAUAGUAUUUUAACUGUCCAAGUUACUUUCUCAACACUAAAUGCUGGGGUUUUUUGGAUACGAAAUCUAUCACCUAGAUAUGAACAUUUAAGCACUGGAUAUGUUUAGUAUUUGCUUGGGGCUAACCAGGGAUCUAGUUCCCCUACUUAAUGGGGGAAAUUACACGAACUCUGAGAAUAACACGUAGUUGUCUUUUACUGUUCUUACUGCAGUUUGUUAUGUUCUGUAGCACAACUACUCUCAGUUCUAGCCAAAACCUUCAGAAUCCAAAUGUCAUGUUCAAAGUAUUGUCUAAUUAGUUCAUAGUUAAAACAAUACAACAGCCUAGUUCAAACAAAAAACCAGGAACCCGCAUCUGCUUUAAGGGUAUAUUACCCUCUAAUGACGUAGAAAGGAAGUUUAGAAGCCAAAUCAAGCUUGACAUGAGGAAAACAUUUGAUAAAUAGAAGAAAAUAAUCAGCUUUGUCCCUGGCCAUUUAAAUUAGAACAGCCUAUGCCUAUGCCUUUCAAGAUGCUGUUAAUCAAUGCAUUUUCAGUUUUACAUCAAGCUAUGACAAUGGCCUUUCACCAAUUGAGGAAGAGGGUCCUUGUGAUUUGCACAAUAAAAAUAAAUUAUACAGACCUCCAGCUCAGAAGGUCUCUUGGUUUUGAGGUUUAGACAAUCAAAUAGAGCAUUCCACUUUGCGGAACAAUUAUCCAGCCAACCCAUCCGAUAGUAUUGCUGCAUCUGAUGUACAGGUGCUGCAAAUCACAAUUUUUUACCACUCAGUCCAACGAGUCAACCACCCAAAAUAAAUAGAAAUAGAAAUAGAAAUAAAACUGCUGUUCAGAUUGUCGAGUUGAAUACAACGAGAAGCAAGAAAGAAUUGUAGAAAGACAUCUCUAUAUCUGAAAGGCAUGAUGAUGAUAAACCUUUACGUAAAAUCAGACAGAUAAUUUUAGAAUCUGGAAUAUUUCUGGGCUACAAUAGAAUUUAAUUGAUACUGUAAAUACCAAUUAAUGCUCUCAAGAAUUUAGGUCCACGGAAACAUAUAAUCAGCAAACUAUAAAUUACCAACUUUAAUUCUGUGAAAUGAGGAUGAAAAGUCAAUGAUAAAGUGAGUAGGGCAAAGAGAGAGAAGGGAGAGCGGGUGUACAAUAGCAAAACCAGAGCGCAUCGAAGUAGGUGGAGCACGACAACUUCCGGCGCGGUGCUGUGGCGUCGGCUACCUCCGAGCUCAUCUUCACCUUAAUUAGUGGAGUACUACUCUGAAACUGCCCUUCCACCUAUGAGCAUGUGUAUUAUGUACUAUUACGCAGGCAGUGGAUUCCUCUUUCUUUUUCUUUUUCUUUUUUUUAGGCGAAAAAUACACGUUAACUUCACAUUCUUCCGUCUCUCGAUUUACCAUAUAAACUGUUGAUGACAAAUCUCUCAAAAUAAUGUUGAAAAAAAUAUAUCGCAAAAACGGCGACGGGCUAAUUUGUUAAAUAGCAUCUAAUCUCAAGAGUGAAAUAAAUGGGCACACUUAUAUAGGACUAAAUAAGUAUUAGUAUAUGUUAAGCUAAAUCCAACUACAAAGUGGAACAUAAUUUAAAUCCAACUUCUUCAAGAUUUCGAGCUAAAAAGUGGACUAAAUAAGUACCAAGAAGCUAAAUCCAACUAAAAAGUGGAAAAAAAAAAUCUUUGUUCUAUCUUAAUUUUGAACACAACUUCUUCAAGAUUUCGAUAUAGCCUUCCAUGUAAGGUUACAAAUCAACAUUUUUCUACAAAAAUCAGGUGGAGAUGGUAAAUCGGACGUAAUUUCCAUAAAGAUGAAGUUGGUUUUACUAAGAGUUAUAAUCAUUUUACAAGUUUGGCCAAAUUUUGAAUUUUGCCAAUAACACAAGAUACAACACCGAUGCAGCUACAACAAUCAUCAGCUUCUGAGUCCUGACCACUGACCACUGACCAGUGUCUCCAAUAUGGGCCCUUAGUAGAAAAUUCCUAAAUCCCGCAUAAUUACCUAUGAAACGAAUACAAACAAGUCACCAACUCAACCUUGAGUAAUUUCAGAUCAUAGCUCUAAGAACUGCAGAGAAAUGAUGGAGCUAUGUGAUUGACAUUCAUAGCAGCAUCCGUUCCAUUUAUCUCUUUCUCAACAGCUAUAACUUGGGCUUCAAUUCAGUCUUAUAGGUCAAGAGCGAAAGUGGCGAGGAGAUAAAUGAAAUCCAAUGCACUUCUUGAGGUACUGCAACUCCGAGAGAACCAGGAAUUUGAGUUUGACUCUGUCGGAGGCAAAGACUUGUUGACACAACGUAGCAGCAGGCUAGUCUGCUUUAAGCGAAAAGCAUCUUAAGCUCCUCGAUGCGCGCUGAUCUAACUUCUUGGUCAGUCAAAGCACCAGAAAUCAUCCGUUGUUUGCGUGCUUGCACUGCUUCCAUUUUUUCUUCUACGGUUCCCUGCCACCAAGAUAGUCCACGUGAGUAUUCGCCACAGUUCAGUUAUACCAACAAUUCUACCGAGUACCAAUAAAGGUUAAUCACAUUCAUGUCUAAUCCAAAGUACAGGGUCCAGCCACAUAUCUAGUGUCAACAAGAGAAUAAGAACGCUACCAAACUAGCAAAAUAAGACUUGCAGGACAAUUCCAAAAGGAUUUUAUGAUGUACCUUCAUGAUGAACCUUUUGAUCAUUACUUUUUCAGUUUGUCCAAUGCGAUGAAUGCGCAUUACAGCUUGUUCCUCUACGGCUGGGUUCCACCAGGGAUCCUAUAUAAGUCAAAUGUAGGCUUAGUGUAUAUACAGGGAACAAAAGCCAAUUCCAAGUACUACUUUUCUACUAUUGAAGUCAGCAGAUUUAUGAGAUUACUGACAAGAAACCGAUUUUCCAAUUGAUGAUAGCAAAUUUUUUGUUUCCCACUUGCCGAUUGAAUAAAAAGAACUCAUACUAGUGUUUUCAUCCAUAAUUACUUCCGCAAGGCACAACUCAAAGUAAACACUCCUUGACAACAUAUUCAAGGACAAAUGCUCUCCACAAAUUUGCAAGACCUUGUACACAUGACUACCAGCAAGAUACAUACCAAGACAAAAGCGUUGGAUGCAGCUGUUAAGUUGAUCCCAACUCCCCCAGCCUUCAAUGACAUUAGCAAAACCUGUUUAAGUCAAAUUUGAAGAAGUGAGCCCAAAAAACAAAUAAAUAAAUAAAAUAAAAUCUAGAUAGUAUGCUCCUCAUGCCAAAACCGUGGAGACAAACCAUGAUGUUAUCUUCCUCUGAGAAUUGCUUUAUUACAUUCUCACGUUGUUGCUGGUUAAGGGUCCCAUCCAGACGAAGAAAUUGAAUAUCACUCCUAAAAGUAGAAAGGGAGAGGGGAAAGAAUUGCAAAAGAAAUGAAAGGCAAAUAAGGCUUAGAAGAAUUAAUCAACGGAUUGAGACAAUAAUAGUCACGGAUUAAUACCAUUAUGCAACAAAAUACAAAAAGCGAAACUUGGCCAACAAAUUUCUCAAGAACUCUACACAUAUACACUAGACGAUCAGACAGCUCAAAAUUCUUCACAUCAUGUCAUGCUCUUGGUAAAAAUCCCCCCCACUCCAACACCCAGACCCAAUCUAGCCUGAGAAAAUCAAAUAUAAAGAAACCAAAAAUAACCCCUUUUGCUAGAUAUUAGAGGGCUAUGGAAUGGUAAACAAGCCAAGCAAAUUAACUGAAUGGCUAACAAACAGAACGUUACAUUCCAGUACUAGAAAACAAAUGAUGGCAAAACGAAGACAGAAAAUGUUACCGAGAAAGAGCAAUCUGCAAUAGAUCAAGAAAGGCAGUCCACUGGCUGAAAACAAUGCUCUUGGACCCUGCUAAGCGAAGAAUUUCAAGUUCAUGCAAAAGAGCAGAAACCUUAGAUGAUUCGACCCAAUUUCUCUCAAUAUCAAUCCGGAAGCGACUCUGAGUAGGAGCUGUGAGAAGUUCUUGCUUGGUAAUCAUCUUUCUGGAAUGUGACAAGCUCCCAACGAAUUAGUGUCAGGCAAGAGGAUAAUGUAGUAAGCUCAUACCAUGUAAGAGUGUUAGAAGAAAUAAAAGGAAAAAGCAUGAUGGUACCUACAAACAGGACAAAAACCAGAAGUAGAGCUUCGCCAACUUGCUAAGAGGCAUUCUCUGCAUAGUCUAUGAGCACAUGGUGUCAAUACAGCAUCUUCAAAAGCUUCAAGGCAUAUCGGGCACUCUCCUACUUCCCCUUUUCGUAACUCUUCAACAACCUCCUCAACAUAAGCCAGUGAUGGUACAUCUCUAGCUUGCCCAUCCACAAUGUCCUGACCAACCUUAAGAAAGCGUCUUGUGAGCUUAUUCAGAUCAGAGAACUCUUGCGUGUCGCCCCGACUGGACACAUAAAACCCAUCAAAAAUGAAUCAUUAAAACUAAUCUCAGAAAAUUCUCACAUAAACAUGUGUGAGCAUGUGCAAGCUUUACAGAACAUCUCCCAUCACUCAAUAGCACAUGGUCAAAAGCUCUAAAACAUUAGGAGACCAUGGCAGUAACCUUUAUCCUUAGUCAUAAAUGACUUAUCAAUGGGAUAAUGGGAAUCAGAUAAAGCUUACUUCUUGUGUAAACAAUUUCCAAAAAACUCAGAAAGUUGGAGAGCUAAAUCAGGCAGCACUGUGAACAUGCUAGAUGUGGCUAUUAGAGCAUUAGGUUGAGUUGCAAAAGAUCAGCAGGCUAGUGGGGCUGUCUUAAGCUUUCCAUUCAAUAGUGAGAGCUGUAGUUGGGGUUUGUCUAGUUUGAUUUAUGCACAAUUCAUGGUACCAAAAUUUCAUUGUUUAACCAUAAGAUAUGUUACUAAAGAAGGGAAUACAAGGGAAAAUACAAAAUAUCCUACCUCAUCACUAAAAAUGGAUGGUCACAACAUUGACGAAGACGCAAGAGCAACUCCAAUAUUGAAGCAUAAUUGUGAAGAACACGUCCUUGCUCGACAAAUUUAUCAAAUUUCACCUUAAGAUAUGGGACAAAAUGGAACAUUAGGGAAAUGGAUACCCCAAAAAAAAAGUGCUUCAGAUCAAUUAAAUACCUUUGAUCUUUUAAACAAAGCAUCAUAAAAAUCCCUCUCUGCUUCUGUAAGUUCACAAUAUAUCACUUGAAUAUCAGCAGGUGGAAGAACCAAAAUUGGCCUGCAAACACAUAAAAGUACAAGGAAUAUAGCAAGCAACAUAGACAAUGGAGGAACAUUAGAAUUUACGGAUUCCUUAGAUAACCUUACCUGCCUUCCUUGUCAGUACUAGAUUUAGUUCUUCUUAGCAUAAUUGGCUUUAAUAUUGAUUGGACCAACUUCAAACUACGCGCAUCACCCUCCUCAAAAGGUUUCUGAACAAGUUUGUUCCACCUAAAUUAAGCAUCCAUUGGUCAAUCCAAGGCAAUCUGCUAUAAAUUUUUGGAAAAAAGGAUCACUAGAACACUUUCCAAUAGCAGGGCAGCAUGCAAUCUCUGAAGGGGCAACAGAAACAGGAUUUGGUAAAGUCAAAAGAUAAAACAGUUCAGCUAGAGCCUAGAGCAACAUAACCACAAACUUCACAAAAUCAAAAGCAUAAAAAUAAAGAAAGAUCCUAUUGUAAGCUAAAUUUCAACCAUAGCUGGAUUAAAGAAAGAAGAAUGGUGAUAAAAACAAUUCCAAUGGUGAAACCUAAUAUCCAAAAAAAGAAUGGAAGCUAAACCUCACCAUGCCCAGCUUCCCCAUGGUUCCACCUUCAAAAAUCGAAGAAGACUGUAAAGAUCUUCUAGGUUGUUCUGUUGCAAAAGAAUUGUAUUCAGAAAAAAGAAUUAGACUAAAAGGUAAAAUCUGAAGAUUACUACGAGGUAGAUAAGCUCAAUUACAAUCAUCAUAAGCUUCUUUCAAAAUCUGCAUUUAGAGAAAGAACUCUACUGCUCCCAAGCUUAAGGUGCAAAGAAGACUUAAUUCAAACUUGUCAUAAUAAAUGUUAGAGUGCUCUUCAAUAUCUUCAAGCAACAGAGCAUACAUGAAUGCAACAUAUUUUAUUUCAGGCCAAAUAAUCACCCAAUAUACCUGGAUAGGGGUGCCAGUAAGGCACCAUCGACGAUCAGCAACAAGCGCAGCUGCAGCCAUGGAAAUUUGGCUUUUUGAAGACUUUAUUGUGUGUGCUUCGUCUAGCACCACUCUAAACCAUCUCACUGAGAAGAGUCCCCCAGUGACAUCAGCAUUCUACAAAGGAAAACCCAUUAAAUGAGCUUGUCAGAUAAUUAUCCCAGAUAAGACAGAUUAUAAUCAUGUCAAUAGCAGAUGAAGGGCAAAAGAGUCAGGCAAAAGGAUUUCCAGCAAUCUGAGCAUAACUUGCAAGUGGUAGAUUUCCUUCAGCAUAGGAAACUGCAAGUGAAAUUUUAGCUACUUCUGUUAUGAUCAAACGAAGAGAUUGUAAAAAUACCUCUGCUGAGAACUCUGAGGCUAAAACUCCAUAAGUUGUGAGCACAACAUCACUUUGGCCUAGAACGAGUGCAUCCCUUGAUCUGUUCUGCCCAUAGUGAAUGUAAAUCGACAAAGUCCCAGGUUGUGCAUGGGUUUCAAUUUCUGCCUGUUAUCAAGAUAACCAUUUGUUUCACAGUAAAAAACCUAGCAAACAUAUUUCACUCUACAUGCUACAUGUAAAUUCACCAUUUCAUUUGAUUUUUCAAACACUGCUUGCAGUCAAUGUGUACAUACCUUCCACUGACCUAUAAGGGUCAUUGGACAGAUAAUAAGGUUUCCACCACAUGUGAGAAAGUUUUUUGGCUUCAAAAGCUUUUCGAAUCCAGAAAUUUUUGCCGCUUUUUUUGCCGUUGGAGAUUGAUCUGAAAUAAGGCUAGCUUCACCAUUUCCAGUCAAAGUCUGGGCUGUCAAUUGGUUUCCUAAUGAACCACCUCUUUCAGAAUGUGUUAGAAGAAGAGCUAUGGUCAUGAUAGUUUUCCCAAGCCCCAUAGAAUCUGCCAGAAUCUUCAAAUUUUCCUUGAUUUAAAUGCAAUACAGGAAAAACAACUGAAUAAAAAUUUAAGAUGAGAUCCAGAAUCAUACUCCUCCUCUGGCCAUCCGAAGAGUGCUUGGAAAUUCUGUUGUUGCAUCGCCAGAAAAUGCAUUCAAGUAUAUAACAAGCCCCCUUCUAGCAAAGAACACACCCAGCUUUAGAAGAUGAGUCAAAUUAUAAGAUAAUUAGAGAAUUUAAGCAUUCUCCUGGUCACCAACUCGAAAACAAAGCUUUCUAACUUACUUGUCUGCAAGCCGGUACGCAUCCCAACAUGGGUGCAACGUUGAUGCUGCUUCAUCCAGGCAAUGGCCCCUCUCAAGUUGAAUCAUCCAAUGAAGAGCCUGCUUCUGAUAUGGAUGAAGUUCACACUGAAGAGUACUUGGAGGUUCCAUUUCCUAAAAUAAGUGCCAAUAUAGUUAACAUGCAGAGAAAUCAUAUACAACCCCCAGCCCCAAAAAAGACAUCAAACUUCACAGAGCACAUUCACAUGCAAACUGCCUGUAGGCCAGUACCAGUAAUUCAGAGUUGUCUGCAACACCAACAAUUUUGUCAAGAUCAUUGUCAGAUAUUGACUCCUCAUUUUCCAUCUUACUUCCAUCUAGAGUUGAUUGGCUCUUGAAUUUAGGAAUAGGAAACAAUGGUGCAGAGACAUUAAAGCUGUCCUGUUCAGAUUAAAUAUAGAACUCAAAGGCUUUUUUUCUUAUUUUAAAAAACUUAAUCCAUUUCUGAAGAAACUCGACAGCCAGUAAUGUUUAAUGUACCUCUAAGUUCAACGGACGCUUCUUCGUAUACAAAUCGCCUGGAGUGAAUUCUGCCUAAAACAGAUUAAUGACAUUAAACAGCUCAAAAACAUGACAAAACCACAACAUCCAUACUCAGCACUUUAACGGUUAUUUGGAACUACACACACGAAGUCAAACAUGACCAAACUUAUUGUUUUUAUUACACUCUAUAUACACACUGAAUGAUUACACCGUACUAACUCUUAGAGUUGUUUAAAAACAAAACUGCUAAAAGUAAAUUGUCACCUUCUGAAAAGGAGAGAGCCCCAGCAAUUGGAAAAGCGUUGGCAGAGGAUGAAUAACUGAUUCAUCAUUUGAGGCUGCUUUCAGUGAAGCCUGAUGGCUCUUUUGGAACAUGGAACCGUUUAUAUACACGCUGCAUAUAAUGCAAUUAAAAGAAAUCAACUGUCACCCUCUAUCUACUGCACAACCACAUAUACAAAUUAGUACAAUAUAAGAUAUACAGAACCCAAUCAUCACAACUAUACCUGACGGACAGAAUAAUGCUGUCCAUAAUUCCUAAUACAGGUGGAGCGGAUUUACAAUGCCCAUCAAUUCUAACUUUCUUGUCCCUCACAAGUGGUAAUAAGCAUCGAGCCCAUUCAUAUGGGAUGCGGCCAAUCUGCUAGCAUUAUCACAAACAUAUGUAAAAAAUACUAUCUUAAAGGUCCAACCAAAGCUGUUUCAUUUUUCACGCUUCUCAAACAACUAUAUUAAACGCCAUGCUACUUUCACCAAAUUAGACAUUUUUCAGCAAAUUAAGAUCUUACUUAUCCUUGCACCACUUUAUCAUUAAAAAGGGGACAACAGAUGCAUUUUACAAACACAAAGCAUAUGACUUUGUCUUCUAAUUUUCUUCUUAACAAUUCAACUUAGAUCAAUGAACGAUAGUACCUCUCCACAAGCAUUCGUGGAAAAUCUGACAAUUUCAGAAGAAGAAGACACCUGCCGCCCCCGACCACCCCCAGACUUUCCAGGAGAAGGUGAACUCAACUUUCUCUCCACCGGAAAUGUGAAAAAAACCUCCUCCCCAGGCUUCAGAGUCCUUCCUUUACACGUCGAAAUCCCUGCAACCUCACCACACCCCACGAGCCACCAUUCACUCCCCAUUGAACUCGAACUCGAACACCCAUUGGAGCUCGAACACCUCGCAUCCUCAACUUUCCUCUCUCUCUCACUAUCCUCUAUCCUAGCCUUUACAGCCCCAUUUGAAGCCGAAACCCGACACAAAUUCUGAUUCUUGGCCUUGCUAUCAUGAUCGUCAGUACCAUUCACACUGGGAUUUGCCACAGUUGCCGGCUCGGGGCUCAAAUUUCGAUUCAAAGGCUCGGGUUUUUUGGGAAUUUCAGGUUUUCUAAAACCGGGAGUGUCAAAAAUGAUGUUAAUUGCAGCCGUGGGAUCAUUCUUGGCCAUGUGCAGGGCUCGAACUAUAUCCAUAUUUGAGUAUUCAGCGCCUACGAUGGAUCGAACCAUCAAAACCAAUUCAUCGGUAACUUUACUAAUACCCAUUUAGGUUUUGCUUGAACUGAAGAGAAUAGAAACCCUAGUUGUGAUUUGAGAAAAUCGAGGCAGCUCUAUAUCCAAAUUUGAAUUUGGGAAUGGUAGCAAUUUUUAAAUUUUGUUGGCUUUAGAAGAAGGGGAAAAUUUUGAGAAGCCCUAGAAUACGGGGUUUUUUAAAAGGGCGCAAAACGGAAAAGUGGCGGGGGUGGUGUUUAUAUAGUUCAGGAGUAUCGGGUACAUUCCCAGUUUCCCGCCAUCCCAGUCAUAAAGAGUACUCUCGUUUUGCUUUUCCGCUGUCUUUUGUUCAUGUUCCACUUCUUAGCUUUACUGUCGGUUUGAUUAGGUGAAAAAGUGCCGUCUGAACCAUUUCAAAGGAAAAAAAGAAGAUUCUAUAAAAAAAAAAAAGAUUCUAUAGAACCAUUUCAAAGGUUCUAUAAACAAAAGCUCGCUACUACUAGCUUUACUGUCCUUUUGUUCGUGUGCUGCUAUUAGCUUUAAUGCGCAUUUGAUAGAAAGAGUGCUCAUUUAGGAGCUUUGGUUGAUUUAGGAGCUUUGGUUGUCCUGUGAGCAAAACUUAUCUAUUAAAAUGUUAAGUGGUAUAGAACUUGUGUGUAUUUUUUUAAGUACAAAAAUUCUAAGUCAACGACUGAUUAUGAUGAAUUGUUAUUUUAAUCAGCAAAUUUACUUUAACUAUUUUAUCUUGUUUUUAAAAUCCAUCUCUAUUUGUUAACCAUGUUUAGAAUCCUUCCCAAUUAAAUAAGUUGAUACUUUCGACCUAAUGCCUUUCAACUUUUGUUUUUUCUCUAUUUAAUGACUUCCAACCUCUUCUCAAUAUGUUUCGCAUAUUUUAUUUUUCUAAUUAGUGAAUUUACUCCUUAAUGUUAUUUUUUUCCUCCAUCUCACUUUUCAUCGUUUGCUAUUCACCCAGUUUUCUCGAAUUCUUAAUUUUUUCCCUCUUUAGUAAAGUAAGUGAUAUUGCUUAUUCGUUGGUUUUUUAUGUUUCUUUUUUUUUUUAAGUACAUUAUGCAAUAUAUGUCUAUCUAUGUGCAAUAUAGGUAUGAAAUCAAAGAAUUCUAGCUGACCUCAUUAGAAAGAUCUAAGUGUAUUUAGGCGAUUUAUAAAAUUAUACUUGAUUGAAACACAUCCAAAUAAUUAUAGUGGAGGCAGUUUAAAAAAAAUGUUGGGAAUGAAUUAGAUCAACAUUGAAAUAUGAAAAAUAAGAGUGACUUUAUGCAAAGAUAAUUAAAGAAUGAAUGGGAUUAUUCGAAACCAAAAUACAAAUUUUGGGCAAAACUCAAUGGUAAUACAAUACUGUAAAUAUUACAAAACAAUCAUUUUUUACUUUCUUAGGUCGAAUUUAGAUGUUAGAUAAAUUAUUGAAUGUUAGAUGAAUUAUUGGAUUGUAGUGUUUCUUUUAAUAUUUUUCAUAACACAUUUCAUCUUUUCUAUUUAUUUAAUUAAAAGUAAUUAUUGUCUUUUUCAUACAUAACAAUUUCAAGCUAAUUAAAUCACAAGUUUUUUUAUAAUGAAAAGAUAGCAGGACAAAAUUGUACAAUUUAUCUUAUUAAGCAUUUAGUUUUAGAUGUUUGUCAAACACUACAUAUGGAUUUAGUAUAAGGAAUCAAAUGUUCAUAUUUUUUUUUCAACGCUCAAAGUUCAACAAAUUAAUUGUUUCAGCAUUCAAUUUUCAUAAUUUAGAUUUAGUUUUAUCAAACAUGACCUUUGACUAUAUUCAUAUUUUUGGGUCAAACAAGACUAAGGAUUCGUUUGAUAAAACUAAAUAUGACAAUCUAAAUCCGUUAAAUUAUUGAAUUGUUAAACAUUGAAAUCCUAAUAUAUGAGUAUAAAAGUGAAUAGCUUUUAAUUAUUUUUUAGAGUGAGUUUCGCCUAGAUAAUUCAAAUCCAUUUUAUUAAUUAAAAAUAUUAUAUUUUUUGUUAUCAAAUAUAUCUGAACAUGCUAAGGCCUAAAUCAAUUAGAUUUAAGUACUAAAUUAUAUUAUUAAACAAGUCCCAAACUAGAUGCUUAUACACAGUACUUGAUAUACUUAUACUACAAUUCAUUGAGAUGCCUACAAAAUACAUUUGACAAGCUUUCAAAUUUUUAAGUAUGUAUAGUAUGACUGUCCACUUCGUGUUCUAAUACUAAAAACAUUUCACUGACUUGUUAUUAUUCUAAAAGCUUUAUUUCUUUCAGCUAGAUCAUACACUUCCGAUGGGUCUUCGAUUUAAAAUUUAUUUCUUUAUGAUUAUAGGGAAGUUGAACGAGAGCUUCUCUCCUAGAAAUCAUAGCUAAUGAAACAAAGGUCUCAGCCAUUCUCGGUGUCCUAGUAAUUUUCUAUAGAUAAAUGGUAAUUAAUAUGAAAUUAACUUGCAAAUAGGUGUUAUCAGACACUUUUUCACUAUAGGAUUAUGUGAUAUUUAGACAUUUUAAUUAUGUGAUAGUCGAGUUUUGAUUUGACUAUGGAAGUCAAAGAUAUCCAUCUUCCCUGCCCUGCGUGACUAGAAGACGAGAAGUUAUUUCCCUUUUUGAUGUCAAAAUUCUCAAGAGUUAUUGCCUGGAUGUCAAAAUUUUCCUUGAAUGUAUGAGUUUUCUGAGCACGAAUUCAUCCAGUUUGGCCAUCAGAUUCUCUUCUUUUUGGAUCAGGGCCUUGAUGCUGGCAUCCACAAUAGUCAGUCCAUUGGCAGACUCGUUACAUUAUCGCUCCUUGUGAGUCUUAUCCUGAACCCAUUGAUUAUAUUCUCGGAGGUCUUCUUGACUUCUUUUAAAGGAUUGAGAAUGGUAAGGGAGGCCGAUUAAGAAUUGAUAAACAACUCUUCGAUCAGCUUUAGUCAGCCCUGAUCCAUCGGAUUUCAUGAAAAUUUCAAGAGCCGUUUUGAAAUCUCCCAGCUCUGGGCCAAAAAUUUGAUCAAUGGGGCUAUUGAUGACCUUGCUGAGGACCUGUUUCCAUUGUUCCAAAGGCAACUCAGCAGUUGAUGAGGUUGUUGCCGAUGCCUCGGGUGUGGAACCAGGAGGUGGACCGAUCACUUGCUGAAUUCGUGCCAUAAUUUCUGUCAUCGAGAAUGGAGCAGGUGAAGAAGUACCACCAUUCAAAUCCUACAAUGCAAACAAGAGAGAACACAAGCAAAUCAACAAGGAUCCGAGCAUUGUAGUAGUAGAAAAAAUAAGAAGGCAAGAAUAGAUAAUAUAAUACUACUGUUUUGAUAAUAUUUCGAGUUUCUUCAACCAAUUCAUCAUUGGAAUCAAAGGAGUCCACAGCAGCAGAACUUUUUUGCGUCAUAACUUUCGACCGUUUAGUGGUCACUGGUGGAGUUGCAUUUUUCGAAGACCCCAUCUCAGUUGUCUUGGAGCGAGCAAUUUUGGCCAUUUCCUGUUUCUCAGCUUUUCGGCGAAAGAAGGUUUGGGUCUUGACUUCUUUUUUUGAUUUCUUUGAUGAUCGGCUAGUCAAAUGUAUUGAAACAUCAGCAAUAUUAAUGUCAUCAUCAGAAUCCAUGUCCUCAAUAAUAAUGGCUUUAGCAACACCUGCGAAGUUGCAUUUACAGGAGAAAUUCAGAUUAGCAUCGAUUUAAAGAAAAAGAAAGUAGGAAAAUGGAAAAGUUACCUAUCGGUUCAGGAACAUCCCCGACAACUUGAACAAUAUCCAUAGAAAGUCGUCGAUCAUUUGGAUGGGCAAAGUAGUGAGUCCUGGUGACUGGAUUCUUAUCAGUGCCAGAAGGAAAAGGGGAAAAACAAGGAUCGGCAAGAGCAAAAUUGGCUGUAGGGAUCGGCGGUGGUUUGCGGAUGCGGCUUUGAUAAUAGUCUUGAAAAGAGGGAGCAGUGGCAUCUUCAAAUUGGUGUGUGUGAAAAUACGUUCGCAAGUAUCUUAUUUUUCGGUUCUCAUCCUUUUGGUGAUCAAUUUCUUCUACCUCCUGAAGUAUUUCUUCUCGUCAAUAGGGGUUCGAAAGCUAUAAUAUCAGAUAUUUGUUUACUUUUAGAUGAAGUGAGCUGUCUCUUGCGCUUGCUUGUUUCCUGAACCAAAACCAGUAGGAAAAAGAACAAGUGAUCGAUUUUCUGAACCCGGUAGUUAGUUUUCUGUAUAAUCAGACCACCAUAAAAGUAAAAUCAGUGGAUGCAUCCACCGAGGGGAGGAAAGCAGGGAGUUUCAAGGUUUUGAAGAGUUGGCGUGCUAUGGCAGUGCGUUCAUCAGCACACAUUUUUUUCCAUAGACAUCGAUUCAUUCCUGUUGUUUUUCUGGCAUAAACCAGGUGGCAUCAGUAAUAAAAGUCUGCUGUUCUUGGUGUCCUUGUAAUUUCCUAUAAUUUUAUACGGUAACCAUAUGGAACUAAAGAGAUCCAUUUACCAAUCUACAAGAAUUCUUGUCUUGCAUGGCUACAAGACUGCAAAUUAUUGCCUUUUUGAAUGUCAAAAUUCUCAAGAAUGCAGAAGUUACAGCCUAGAUGUCAAAAUUCUCUUUCAAUAUAUGAUUUUUUUUAACCUCCCAUCUCUCUCCACAAAUCUUUAUACUCAUAACUGUCAAAUUCAGGAUUUGAAUCUUAAACUUGAUAGCAAAAAGAACUUAAAAGAACUCUCCCCUUUCCUACCCACUGGCUAAUCUGAGUGAUUGCUGCAUCAAGGUAAAAUGUAAAAAAAGGAAAUGGGAUUACUCACAUUGCGCAAGUGCUUUAAACUAUGUUGAGGUCAGUAAUACAUGGCACUGUCAAGCUACUGAUGAGCAAAGCUGCAGUGCUAGAUUGGAGAAAGAUGAGGUCCAAGUCAAAAACAAGCAAACUCUCAACUACAUUUUGUCUCGAAAAACUCAUGACAUGAGAUUAGUUACUUUGUUGGAAGACAUUCAUCAAUUAAGAUUGUUGUUUCAAAUGUGCUCCUUGUAUUUAGUUAGUAAAGAACAUAAUCAUAUUUGUAGUAGGAUUAGCUCAUAUGCCUUAGGUAUAAUUCAGAUAAGACUGAUUGUAUAGCUCUAUGGAGCCUUUGCUCGCAAUUGUACAGUUUUGACAAUCUAUAAGAAUCAUUUUGACCAAAAAAAAAGAGUAAUACAAUGCACAUCUGUCUUCAUAAGCAAACUUUUUUUUUUUUUUUUGGUCGACACAGUUGGGUAUCUGGGCCCAUGAACUGGUAAUACCGUACGGCCCAACUAAUCCCAACUGCGGGCCAGGAGAGACUGCCCAACGUCACCGACCAAGGUCACCCGGGGAAUCGAUCUCUGGACGUGGCUCUCGCUCAACUGAGCUACAACCACGGGACCGACCCCUGAAGGGCCUUCAUAAGCAAACUUAUUGUCAUUUUUCUUGUAGUAUAUAGCUGUUCCAAGGCCAAAAAUAAAAUCCCCUUUUUAAUCUUUAUUUAAAGGUUCACGACAGUUUAAAAUACUUAGUGAAAAUCUAAUGUCAAAUUAACAAGAGUAAUCUAUUAGCUAAAUUAGCAAUUUUUGCAAGCAAUGGAAGGAUUGCAUUUAAAUUAACUUAAUAUGCCUGUGAAGGUUCCUUAAAAUAAAACCAAUGGAAGGGUUGUGAUUACUACUUUGCUAGCAAGGCAACUAUGAGAAUAUAGAAAAAUUUACCUGCAAGAUGUCACCAAUCUUAGUAGAGGUUGAAUAGUUAGGCAAAAACUUUAAAUUACUAAAAAUUAUAUUUUAAGUGUCAAGCAAAUGUAUUCAUUGUGUUUUGUAUAUCAUGCAGCGACUUAUAGAAUUUGGUUUUGACACUUUGUUCUACAUUUUUUGAACUACUUUCACAAAUGUAAUUAUCAAUUUCAGAAUUUCUCUCUUAUUAUUCAUAGUUCACAUGAUUGAGAAAAUUGAGAAACAUCAUGACUAACUACUUGAAUUUCAAUCACUUGUUAUGGAAUUAAACAUCUUUGCAACAUGGGUUAGACAUUGUCAAAUAGUAGAGUUAUUAUUAUUCUCCAUAUAAUAUGCAAGUGUUGAAUAGAUAAAAAAGAAUAAGUAAUUGGCACAAAUGUUAAACUAGAUUGAAUUAAACAACUUCAUGAUAGUAAGAUUUCAAGAGGAUACUUUUAAAACUGAACAUAGAAAAACAGCCAUAAGUAAGUGAAAUGGUAUUUUGAAGUUCUUAAAAUUAAAACUCAAAAGAAACCCAAAAAAGAAAUUCUUGAAAAGAAAAAAUGCAAAAUCAAUAAACCAGGAAAAUAAAUAUAGCCAUUUACAAUUAACACCCUGCGAAUUUAAGGCCUUGCUUGGAUUGCUUGUUUCCGUCGGAAAAUAUUGUCGUUUUCCGUGAUCACAUUUCCCUAUCACCUUUUUUCCUCACAUAUAUCAAAUCGCUACAGUAAUUUUUCCAUGAAAAAUGACGGAAAAUGCAAUCCAAACACAACCUAAGUUAGGUACCCAAAAUUUCUAGGAAGUGACCGUUAGUUUAAAAAACAUUUUUGCUUUUAUAAAUUCAAAACAAUGAAAUUGUUGGCGGGUGACAACUAAAUCACCACAGCUCUUCCCGCCAAAUUGUUCAUAUUAUUAAGGUUGGUGUCCUGUUCUAUGUACCGUGCUAUUGGGAUUUUAUAGUACUAAAACAGUCCACUAAAGCUCACCCACACUCGGAAUUUUAUUCAUUUUAAGCGAGUUGACUCAGCUUGUCCGCGUCAAUACGGAUAUUUUCAGGCACCUAAUUCUUAAUAAUUUCUUCUGGCCUCUUGUCAAUAUUUGGUGUCUUGUUGAAAUUUUUUCAAUUGUUCAUAUUAUUAUUUUCCCAGCAUACGAUCUCUGAUCCCCAAUUACCAAUGGAAAAGCACAGAUUUGAUUUAAAAGAAAUUCAUAAUUUUUAAAUUUUAUCUAUCAUUUUCAGAAUUACAAUUUUAAUUGAGUGAUAUCACUGCUACAUAUUUGUCAUGCUAUGGAUAUUAGGAAAAAUUAGUUUUGGAGGAAAAUAAUAGAUAAUAAAACAUGAAAUUGAUGCUAACACUUUUUUUUAGUCAUCAAAGAUGAUGUUAAUUGUUUACAUUUCUAUAGAGGAGAUAAGUAGGAGAUUCCAAUUUUAAAAUCUUUUACUUACAAAAAAAAUAAAAAACUACAAUCAAACAAAUUAAAAAAAUUUCAAUCAAACAAAUUUAGAAUAAACAACAUGAAUAAACUUUAAAUUUAUUUAUUCCUUAGAGUGAAAUUCAAUUUGUACUUAUCUUAUUAUCUUCCCUGAGUAACAGUGAAUGUAUAGCGCAAAAAAUUAGAUAAAGUAUUCAUUUACAUAAGUGUAUAAGUAAAAAUUAAUUUCUUACAUUUUCUUUUAAGAUAAGAUGAGUAAUUCCUUAUUUAUUUUUAUAACCAAAAAAGUAAAAACAUGUUAGAUAUACAACCAGAAAUCUAGACCCAGAUCUUUUUCAAAAGUACAAUUAAGUUCAAACUUUUCUUGAAUAGUAUAUAGUUUUCUUUUAAAUUAAAUUAUAGAAAAAAUCGUUGAUAAUAAUGAAAUAAAUGUAUAAUGAAAAUCCUCGGGACCGACUCAGGCAAGCGAGUCACAACUCACGAGUGGCCAGGUGGGAUUCGCCCUGGUUUCCAUCAGCCCAGUAGGCAACAGAAAUAUAAAAGAAAAAAUGAAACACAAAAUAUGGUAGCAAAAAUCAUCAAAUACUACUCAAAUACUACUACUACUACUCAAUAGACCCCCAGAGAGAGACCCCAUCGCCCUCAAUCCCCCAAUUCACCAUUAUAAUUGAGCACGACUUACCAUAAAUUACAAGUGUGGUUCAGGUUUUCCUCUAUCUUUUAGGGCUCUAUCCCGAAAUCUCAAUGGCGGCGAAUCAUCUCAGAGCAAAGGUACGAUUUCGAUUUUCCCAUACAACAUUUGUGUCAAAUCGAUUGACUGAAGCUUCAAGAUAUCCUUAAUAUUUUUUUUUUGAAUUUCUGAUUGAUGGUUUUAAUUUGAUUUAUUUGCUAUGGAAUGAAGCCCUAAGCUUCUGAAUUUGGAUUUGGUUUUUGUUGUUGUUGUUCUUGUGGUUGUAUAGGUUUGAUUGGAAGCUAGAUGGUUUCUGUUUGUUACUGGAAAAAGGGAGGGCACCUCGAAACCCUAGAUAGGUUUUGCUGGGAUUUGUGGUGGAUUCAUUUGGGAGUUGGUUUGGAUUUGAUUGAGGAUUGGAAAUAAGAUGGAGGAUGCGGAAGUUAGAUUGGAGAGGAAAAGGGGGCGGAAAAGGAAGAGAGUUGAUGUUCAGAAUGUGGAAAUGGAUGUAGAUGGGAAGAAGAGGGCAGUGGUGACACGGUCGAAGAGGCUGGUGGGGUGUUAUGUGAGGAAGGAAUUCGAGGGGAGUGGGUUUUAUUUGGGGAAGGUUGUUUCAUAUGAUACGGGGUUGUAUAGGGUUGAUUAUGAGGAUGGGGAUUGUGAGGAUUUGGAGAGUGGUGAAGUGAGGAGCUUUUUGAUUGAUGAGAGUGAAAUAGACGGUGAGUGGAUGGAGCGCAAAAAUAAGUUGGAUGCUUUAUUGUUGCAUAAAGACAAGGAUGUAGAGGCGAUUAAUGAAUUGAAAACCGAGAAUGUGGUCCCAUUAGAGUCUGCAAAUGUCGUUGCCAAUGCUCAGGUCAAAGAAACGUCUGCAGUUAGCGAGUUGAUUAAUGCUAAUUGUGAUGCUGAAAUUGAGGGCGUUCAAAUUGAUUAUGAUGCUAAUGUUGACUCAGUGAGUGAUUCCUGUGAGGAUGAGGAAAUCAGUUCAGAGGUGGAAGUGCCGGUUGUUCCACCACCAGAGUUGCCUCCCUCUUCGUGGAAUAUUGGGGUUCCAGCAGAGGAUGUGUCGCACCUUCUUUCCGUAUAUAGUUUUCUGCGCUCGUUUAGUAUUCAGCUGUUUUUGAGUCCCUUUGGACUGGAUGAUUUUGUGGGAUCACUCAACUGUUCUGCUCCGAACACAUUGUUGGACUCUGUCCAUGUAGCUCUCAUGCGUGUUUUGAGGCAUUAUUUCGAAAAGCUCUCAGUGGAUGGUUCGGAGCUCGCAUCAAAGUGCUUGAGGUAAUUGAAUUUCAUCUUUUUCUGAAAAAUUAAUGGGUUAUGAAUGUAUUUGUUGGUAAGUUAUGUACUAGAGGCUACCACUACCGAUCUUGUGGCCAUCACAUACUGAUUCAGUUCUUGGUUCCACUGCACAGUCAUACCAAUACUGAUACAGAAAUCUAAUUUUCCACGUACUAGAUUUCCUGAUACUUUAUAUCAUCAGCAUCCAGUAUCAUUUACCGCUCUGUUCUGGUAAGCAAGUAUUGCCUGAUUAGGAGUUGUUAAAAGAUGUUGUUAUUAAUAACCAUGAAUCCUGUUAGAAUUUCCAAGCUAAUUGUUGUGCGGUCGUUUUCAGCAUUUCUUUGUGCAUUGACUAUGAUAAUGGUAAGUUUGAGUUGUGAUAGAUCUGAGAAAUGAAAGCAGUGAUCACCACUUUAAGCAAUCUUAAUUUUCUUAUGAUGUAUGGUAAGAUGCAGUUCUUUUAUAACAUGGCUUAUUUAGGUUACUUUUCUUGCUUGCAGAGGCAUGGAUUGGAGCUUGCUAGAUACAUUGACCUGGCCUAUUUAUCUGGUUCACUAUUUAAUGGUGAUGGACUACACAGAUGGUCCCGAAUGGAAAGGUUUUUUUAUCCAUGCACUGGAGAGAGAAUAUUACACUUUAUCUGCUGGUAAGAAGCUCUUGAUUUUGCAAAUCUUGUGUGAUGAUGUUUUAGAUUCUGAGGAAUUAAGAGCAGAGAUUGACAUUCGCGAAGAAUCAGAAGGGGGAAUAGAUCCAGAUACGGGAAUGGUUGUUGCUCCCGUGGCUGGACCAAGAAGAGUUCAUCCUAGAAAUUCCAAAACUUCUGCUUGUAAAGGUCAAGAAGCAAUGCAAAUUAUUGCCCAAAGUCGUGAAAUGAAGUCAUUUUCCAACUCUGGUAAUCUGGGGUUGAGUGUUCAGGGACAAGAUGGUAUUUCGGAUAUGGAUCAGGAUGGUAAUGGCGAUGAAUGCCGUCUUUGUGGCAUGGAUGGGACCUUGCUUUGUUGUGAUGGGUGCCCAGCAUCUUAUCAUUCCAGAUGCAUAGGAGUGUGCAAAGUGUUCAUACCAGAAGGGCCAUGGUAUUGUCCCGAGUGUACAAUAGAUAAGGUAGGGCCAAGAAUCACAAAGGGAACCACAUUAAAAGGAGCCGAAGUAUUUGGUGUUGAUGUCUAUUCUCAAGCAUUUAUCGGUGCUUGUGAUCAUUUACUUGUGUAUGUACUUGUUCCUUAUCUGGAUUGCUUUUCUUUCGUUUAUUUUUAAAUGCUAAUGAAUUUUCUUAAAGCUUCAUGUUUAUGAUUAACAUUGAAUUCUCAGGCUAAAUGCUUCAACAAAUUUACAUUCCUGCGCAAGAUAUUACAGUAAAAAUGAUAUUCCAUGUGUCCUUCAAGCACUUCUUUCAAGUAUGGAGCAUAUUGUUAUGUACAAGGAAAUAUUCAAGGCUAUCAUCCAGUAUUGGGAAAUUCCAGAAGACAUCAUUUCAUUUACUGAAACAUCUGAAAUUGCUGAUCAUCAGUUAGCAGAAGAGCAUCUUAAUUGCACCGUGCCAUCAUCUGUAAUGCCAUUGGGCUUGGUAAGUCAUAAUGUUCCAGAGACACCCCGAAGUGAGGAUACUUCAAGCUGUAUUUUUGGUGCUAAUUCAGGAAACAUGAACAAGGCCUCUUUGAGUGCAGUAACAUCUGAUCAUGCUGUUCAACAGGGAAAUGGAGAUGCAUCUAUAGAAACAGUUGGCCCUCAAAUGAAUAUCCCUGGGGAGGUUCAAGUGAAAUACACUGUGUUUCCAGGUUCUCUUGACCAGGGGACUGUUCAGUCUGAUUUCAUGUCAAAAGAAAAGUCAGGCCCAGAGACUGCUACAUGUAUGUCAACAAAUAUGUUUGGUAAUUGCAGGGACUACGUGAGUGGACCUUAUGUGACACCUAAACUUGCUGUUGCCUAUAAACACAUCAAGAUCAGGGUUGGUAAAAGUUUCCAUAGUACAGAAAAUGCUAUCUCAUACAUGGGAUCUUCCUUUAAAGCCCAGGGAUAUGUCAAUAACUAUCUACAUGGAGAUUUUUCUGCAUCAGCUGCUGCUAAGCUGGCAGUUCUUUCAUCUGAAGAAAACCAGGUUUCUGGGUCUCACUCAUCAGAUCGUCGGAAACUUAUUUCCGCUAAUAUAUCACUUCAAGUAAAAGCAUUUUCGUCAGCAGCUAUGCGCUUUUUCUGGCCUCAUACAGAGAAAAAGCUCAUUGAAGUACCAAGGGAAAGGUGUAGUUGGUGUUUUUGUUGUAAAGCUUCUGUUUCGAGCAAAAGAGGGUGCUUGUUGAAUGCAGCUGUGGCAAAUGCCAUAAAGGGUUCUAUGAAGAUUUUUGCUGGUCUUCGUCAUGCAAAGAGUGGAGAGGGAUGUCUUCCUGGAAUUGCUACAUAUAUUAUGUUCAUGGAGGAGAGUCUAAGUGGUCUAACUGUCGGCCCCUUUCUAAGUUCAGCAUUUAGAAGACAAUGGCGCACACAAAUGGAGCAUGCUAAUACCUGUGGUGCAUUAAAGUUACUUUUACUUGAGGUCUCUCUCUCUCUCUCUCUCUCUGUUUGUGUGUCUUUGUGUCUGUUUGUGGCCCCCUUAUACAAGUCAUUGAGUUACUACCUCUACUUCAAGCAAUUUAGCCAUUUAUUUAUUUACAUUGUGGAUCAUGUUUAUCUACUGGUUUUGCUAAGUGGACUUUCUGACAAUUGCUUACUCUUUCCAACCCCUUAUCCACAGUUUAAGUUAACCUGCUAUGCAAAGAGUAGUGGCUUCACUUAAUGUCGUGGAGUAUUUUCAUUUGUCUGGUGUAUUGAAAUCUUUUCCUUUUUUGGUUGAGGUAUUGAGGUUUUACUUUAUUUACUAAAGAAAAGAAAGGGCAAAAGUUUUUUACUUGACGGUUUAGAUUAGGAAAGUUUGUAAAAUAUGGAAGUUACAUUCUCAAAUAAAUGGUGCAGUAGCGAGUGCUCAUUAAUCUGGCUUUAGAUGAGCCUGAUUUUCGUCUGACUUCUUAAUUGCUGCUGUGUGAGUUAUUUGCAUUUUCUAUCUAUUAUAUUUCUGCAUUUAGCUGAUUUAACAGGUUUAUUUCAUAGCACAAAAGGUUAACAUACUUAUUCAUACAUUGGGUAAGGUAGGUUUCAGAGUGAGAAUCAGAUAUUUCGUGGUGGUUGAUGGUUUUGUUGCUCAUGAGUGAAUUGGGGAUUCUGUUCUCUAUUUCCAUUUCCCUUCCCCUCCCACAUCUUUCUUCCCACCCCUGCCCCGCUAAAAGAGUUGAAGAAAAAUCAAGGUUUAAGAAUAGACUAGCCUUUUCCUUUUGCCAUUUAUGGCUUUAAAAGCCUGUUAUUGUUAUGGCCGGUGCUGGUGUUGUUCCAUUAGAUACUUUGUCUCAGCAACUCAUAGGUUUUGUACCUUCAUUCAUAUUGUGCUGUUUUUGAAUGUCUAAACUUGACGUUCCAGUUACAUUAAGACUGUAAUUUUUUUUGCAGCUCGAGGAAAAUAUUCGUACCAUUGCUCUUUCUGGGGACUGGGUUAAGCUUGUUGAUGGUUGGUCACCUGAGUCUUCUGUCACUCCAAGUGCUGUUAAUGCUUCUGGAUCCACUCAGAAACGUAGACCAGGGAGACGUGGAAGGAAAACAUCUGUCAUGACGGAAGUUACUGCUGAUGAUAGCCAGGACAUAUUGGCUGACUUUACUUGGUGGCGAGGUGGUAAGCUGACAAAGCUUUUAUUACAAAAAGGGGUUCUGCCUCGCAUACUGGUGAAGAAAUCUGCACGUCAAGGUACUGAAAGUUUUUUUGACUCUUCCAUGGAAACUUGAACUGCUUCUAUUUUCAUUUUCCUAUUUGAUCUGUGUUACUCUUUUAUAAACAUAAAUCUAGUUGUCAUGGCAAGGAGUAACUAACACAUUUUGGAGUAGCAGGUGGUUCAAGAAAAAUACCUGGCAUUUACUAUGUUGAAGCAUCUGAUACUCCUAAAAGAAGCAGACGACUUGUUUGGCGAGCUGCUGUUGAGAUGAGCAAGAAUAUUUCCCAGCUUGCACUUCAUGUUUGUUCUCUUCUCAACCUAUUCUGCUCUUGGGUGCAUUUAUACGUGCCCUUCAUUUUUUUCUUUGGUAUUUUUUCCAUCAUCAGAAUGUUAUGAGCUAGUGUGUUUUGGAUGGUUUUUACUUUUCAGACUGCCUUUAAUUCAUGAAAUUGACUCUUGUAACAGGUUAGGUACCUAGAUUUUCAUGUGAGAUGGAAUGAUCUUGUUCGUCCAGAGCAGAAUAUUCAGGAUGUAAAAGGCCCAGAAACAGAGGCUUCUGCUUUUAGAAAUGCUUACGUUAGUGAUAAAAGAGUCAUUGAUAAUGAUACUACAUAUUGUGUUGCUUUUGGGAAUCAGAAGCAUCUUCCUUCUCGUGUGAUGAAGAACAUAAUUAAAGUGGAGCAAACCCAAGAUGGAAAGGAGAAAUAUUGGUUUUCGGAGACACGCAUUCCCUUGUAUUUGAUCAAGGAGUUUGAAGAAAAUGCAGCGAAAGUUCUGAUACAAAAAACAGACAAGCCCGUAAAUGCAACUGUAAACUUGCAAAGGAGGAGGUUGAAAGCUUUCCGGAAAGAUGUAUUUUCUUAUCUUGCACGAAAGAGGGAUACUAAGGAUAUGUGCUGUUGUGCUUUGUGUAAACAAGAUGUUUUAAUGGGGUAAUUCUUCUGCAUAUUCCUAUUUUCUUUUUAGUUCUUUUACUAUUUGUCAAUUAAUUGAGGUUUUCUUUAUCUUUUAUGCACAGGGAUGCUGUCAAGUGUAGUGUUUGCAAAGGUAUUACAAAAUACUUUUCUGUAUUUUAUGACUUUUUUAGCAAGUUAGAAAGUUAUUAUGCCUUUUACUUUCUUGUUUGUCGGGUUCAAGUUUUUGAAGAUAAUGAGAGCCUUGUUAUGGUUCAAUUCGUCGCCAGCCAUAUUACCCAUACCCACAAUCCCAGAAAAAAAAAAGAAUGAGAAAAAAAAAAAGAGUAGAGGGGUAAAGUCAUGGAGAAAAGUAGGAAAGGAAGUUGUUGAAUGAAAGGCUGAAGUUUUAAUAGCACAUCUAGCCUUCCAUCCCUAUAUGUAGGGAAAAGAUGAGCUUUAAUAUGGACAUGUAGGGAUGGUAACAAUUAAUUUGGCAGAUAUGUCCUCUUAUACAUGCCUAUAAUCAAACUAUUAUCAGCUUCGUGAGAAUCUUGAAAUGCUAUUAGCAUAUGUGUUUUACAUGCUCCUUGGGAAUCUUGAAAUGCUAGUUUCACAUGUUUUACAUUGUUAAACUUUAAGGAAAGUGACCAACUGUAUGCAUUUUGACUAAGUCUUUAAUUUAUUAGAACUGUAAUGUUUACCAGAUUAUAUUUCUGUCAUGCAAUCUUACUUCUAUGAUAAAAGUGUCACUUGUGACAUUCAAGGACUCUCUCACUAAUUUCACUGUCUAAUAUAGUACCGUGCCACUCUCUCAGUCUUUACCCAAUUUACACAUGAGACAAACUUGUUACCAGAUUGCUCUUCAUAAAUUAUCACUCUGGUCAGAAUUGAUCUCAUUAUCUCUCUCUAGUCAAGACAUUGUGUCCUAACAGAAAGGGGAAUUACUAAUUUUCUUCAAAAAGUUUCUCCUCAAAUUCUACCUGGGAACUGUUAUUUACCAUUCCUUUUCCUCCUGUUCUCGGAUCUUCUUGGACAGUUUUCUUUUGAACUUUCUUGUUUUGUAAUUGUGAAAUCAAUUUACCUAUGUACAAAACAAAGAACCUAGAAUGUAUAUUCUGCCUAGUUUGGAAGUUUAAGAGAGUUCUUUUGUGCCGGACAAUAUUUUCAAUUUUUUUGGAAAAUUUGCAGCCUUAGUUUUUAUUGGACUGGAAUAUGGAUAAAGUUUGCUUUGAAAAGCUUCUUUUUUCUGCCUUCUGUGGAAACAAAUGACCAUUUGCUUCCUGUUUCCGCCAUUGGAGUGAAGAAUGCAGAAAGGGCUUUCUUUUGAAAGCAUUGCUUUUGGAUUUAGAUGUAUCUUCUGUUCCUGAGAAAAUGCUGCAAAGUUGUUUUCUUUAAAGCUUUCAAGUUCUAUAGAUAUUUUGGAGAACACAAAAUUUUAAAAAUACAUUGAUGGUGCAAAACAUUUGGAAAUUGUUGGAAGUUGUUUGAGUCAUAUUAGAAAGUUUUGUUUAUUUUUGUUGGAUACUGUAGUUGAGCUUCAGACUUUCUAUGGCAAUAUCUGGCUGGCUUGUCCCUUAGUUUGUUAGAAAUGUAUUUGUUGUGAACUUUUAUGUUCUUUCCUUUCAGGGUAGAGAACUGAUUUAGAUAAAGAAAUGUGCCAUACAUGCACCCUCAGCUUGACGAUGAUGCGUUUCCUAUGACUCCACCAUUUUUUGCAUGUGGCUGGAUUUAUAAUAAAUUAACUGUCUUUUGACAUCCAAGCUAUUUCAGAUGCUUGCCUGUGCAUGCAAAGUAAAACAUUAUUGUUCAACCUAUUUCAGACGUUAAUCAUGUCAUUUAAUGUCUGUUUUCCAUUAUCCUUAGGUUAAUUUUGUUUAUUCUUAGAUGCAAUGUGAUUUUAAACCAGCAAAAAGCGAGAGGCUCUGAAUAUGAACACCUCUAGGACCACCUUUGGUUUCGUAUAGACGUGUACUUAUUGAGAAAUAUAUAUAUUUUUUGGGAAAUAUAUAUAUUUUUUGGUUGGCAAGUUUGGCCCUUCUCAUUCUAUUCUGGAAUUUAUUAACUAAAAACUUGACAAUUUGGUACAGGUGCCUGUCAUGAGCAGUGUACUGUCAGUUCAACAGUUCACAUCAAUGAGGAAGUUGAAUUCCUGAUCAUUUGCAAGCAGUGCUACCACUCUAAAGCUCUGAGUCAAACUGAAAAUAAUUACGAAUCUCCAACAAGUCCUUUACUUUUGCAGCGACAGGAAUUUGCUCCAGUGAUGGUGAGGAAAGCUGAAAACCCAAUUGGUUGUGAUCAGCCAUCAAUGGCUGUCAAAACUGUACAACAUGCUUCAGAUGCAAAAUCAAUUAAUGCCUCUAAAUCCGGAUCCAAAAGCAAACGGAAAUUAUGUUCUUGGGGUCUGAUCUGGAGGAAGAAAAAUUGUGAAGACACUGGGAGUGAUUUCAGAUCAAAAAAUAUUCUUCUGAAGGGCAGUAGAGACUUCGGGCUGUCUGGGCCCCUCUGCCACCUUUGUCGUCAGCCAUAUAAUUGUGAUCUAACGUACAUUCGCUGUGAAACAUGCUUAAGUAAGCUCAAUAUACCUAAUGUGUUUCACCUGUCUUUUUGUUACCCUUGGUUUUCUGGAAAAUAACAUUGCUUUGGUCUGUGGUCAUUCUCAGACUGGUAUCAUGGAGAAGCUGUUGAACUCCAGGAGUCAAAGAUUUCCGAUCUGCUGGGUUUCAAAUGUUGCAGGUGUAGGAGGAUUAGAUCACCUGUGUGCCCUUACUUGGAUCCAGACAGCAAAAAGCAAUUAGAGGAGAAGAAGACACGCAGUAAGCCUGCAAAGCAAGAUGAGAAGGACCCCAGUGUGGAUGUUGUCCCUCAGCAAGUCAAGCUGGAACCUGCUAUGCCUCAUUUGCCUGCAAUGGAACAAGUGGUGUAUGUAGCAGAGGAUGAUCCUCUACUUUUUAAUCAUACGAGAGUUGAGCAGAUAACCGAACAGAACUCUAGUGUUGAUUAUGAGUGGAAUGCUACAAGUGUUUCUGGGUUCGGGCCACAAAAACUGCCUGUUAGAAGGCACAAUAAACGUGAUAAGGAAGAAGAUUGUUCUUUAGCUGGCAAUUCAGCUCAUGAUGACUUGUCAGCUUUUGGAGGAAAUGUCUUUAACUCUGCAGACGAGUCAUUGUCUCAGGUUCAGUGGGAUCCUACUGCAAGUGGCUUUGGUGAUGGUAUGAUGUUCAACUAUGAAGACCUCAGCUUUGAGGAUAUGGAGUUUGAGCCUCAGACUUAUUUUUCAUUUAAUGAGCUGCUUGCAUCUGAUGAUGGUGUUCAACAGGAUGUAGUUGGUUCAGCUGAGAAUGUGGCAGAGAACUGGGAGAAUUCAUCCAUUCUACCAAGCGAUGGUGUUGUUGAUGCAUCUUUCAAUCAGCAAGAACCUUCAAGCUUGGUUAAACAUGCAGUUAAUACAGUGCCUUGUAGAAUGUGCACUCGUUAUGAACCCUGCCCUGACCUUUGUUGUCAGAUUUGUGGUAUCCUUAUUCACAGUCAUUGUUCUCUAUGGAUUGAGCAGUCAUUGAGGGAUGGUGGCUGGAGAUGUGGUAAUUGUCGCGAAUGGUUUUAGUUGAUCUGCAAUCCAUGUUAGAAUGCUGCUUUGUCCAAUAAGCUCUUACUUGAGGUGGUAGAGUGGAGUAUGCCGAAAGAAAACGCACGCUUAGUGAGCACCAUUAAGAGAAGAAGUCAAAACGGUAAGAAUUCCUGGUUUGGAUCUUUUGGAAGAUGGGAAUUCCCGUCUCAGCAUUGUCCCAUAUAGGUUUUUCAAAAUUAAAGCCCCUAUCAAGUUGAGUUUUGGGGCCAAUAGAGAUAAGCAAAAUAUUUUUUUGUAUGCUUAUCUGAUUUUUGGUUUGGCUGUAUACAACAAUGUUUUAGCUGGCAUUUUGAAAAUCAGUACCAACAUCUGUCCUAGCUUUACAGUGAUAUCCGUGUUCUAGCUUUAUAGUUGCAUUAUGUUGGAGAUUGGAGGUUCAAAUGUCACCCUAAAGAUGACUUGAGCCAGGAAAAGUACGGAUUUAUGAAAGUACCCAUCGAGUAUAAUUUGCUACUAACGUGCUUCCCAGCGGAAACCUUUAUGGUAGGAAGGCGUCCUACCGUAGGUAGAGGAGCAGAGCAUGACACGUGUAUUUGUAUUUGGAAAUAAAGGUGCUAACGGACCGGUUAUAUUGUAGUCCUAACGCCCGGUUAUAUUGUAGUCCUAACGCCCGUGGAGAAUGUCAGCCAUAUAGAAGCAUUGUAUGUGAUUUGGUAUUUUUUAAUACUCUAUCAUUUUCAAGACAUUGAUCAAACAUGAUCAGUUCAAUUUCUUUUAUUUUUUCCAAAAACUCUCAUUUUUUCUUCUUGUAUCUUUUUCGUUUUCAAUACAUCAGUUUGGACCAAAAAAAUAAAAUAAAAUUGAAAAUAUGUAAAAGAUUCAUAAAUUAACUGAAAAACACUUUAUAGACUACCCAAAAUAUUAUCUUUGUAACUUGCAAAAACUUCAAAUAAACAUUCAAGUACUAACUAUUGGUAUUUAAAAAAUGCACUAUAUUUUAUCGAAUCAGAAUAAAUCCUUAUACUUUUUUAUUUUUAUUUGUUUUUAAUAUACUCAAGUUUUGGUAAUAAAAAGUAAGACAACAAAAGGGUAAAUUUGGAAUUACAUUUUUUAAUGUACUCAAAAUGAAUUUUUUAAAUAUUAUAUUUUAAAAUGAGCUGUAAAUAAACAAAUAGUUUAAAGUAAAGGAGGCAAGUGAGAUUUUUCAAUAUUUGUGAGUGCCAAGUAAAAUUGUUAGAAACCUCCGGGGAGGUUUAUGAAAUUAUUCCAAACAAAAAUUUAGAAUGAAUAAGUUGCUUUUUAUAACGGUUCUAAAGGUUGCUUGAGACUUUAUAAAUUAGGUGUCUUGAGUUUGCAAAAAUAAUUUCUUGCAUAUCUAUAGCUAGUGGAAACGGAGUUUAAACUUGCUAUAGGUUAGUUUCUUGUUUUCCAUUGUAUCCUAAAGGGUAAUUUGUCAUUCAACCUAAUUUUAUUCUGAUUUUAUCUAACUAAUAAAUUAGCUUAUGGAAAAAUGGGUAAAUGGAUAAUUUAUGGAGGAAAGCCAUAAAGACCUGGUGUUUUAUUGAAAAACGGGUUUAUUUUUAUUUUAUCCGAUAAAUAAAUUUGUUUAUGAAAAAAUAGGUACUCUGUUCUUAUAAUGGAGGAAAGCCAUAAAGAACUGGUGUUUUAUUGAAAAACGGAUUUAUUUUUAUUUUAUCCGAUAAAUAAAUUUGUGUAUGGAAAAAUAGGUACUCUGUUCUUAUAAUGGAGGAAAACCAUAAAGAGCUGGUGUUUUAUUGGAAACGAGUUUAUUUUUAUUUUAUCUGAUAAAUAAAUUUGUUUAUGGGAACAUAGGUACUCUGUUCUUAUAAUAGAGGAAAUCCAUAAAGAGCUGAUAUUUGAUGGGAAAAUGAUACUUUAGGAUACCAAUGGAUAACAGUUAAAACACAUUCACAGGUUUAGUAUUUUAAAUAAUGAGAUUGUUUUUAGGGGUGUUUUUAUGGUUGUAUUUUGGGAUAUUUUUAGAAUUUAAGAAUUAUUUGAGAUAUUUUAUAAAAAUUUCAACCACCCACCACCACACACAGGGACCACGGGCUAGCGAUUUUGUGCAUUUUGCACACCGACCCAUAAAGAGCGGGUGCUUUAUUCAUAUAUUGGAGGAGUGCCAUAAAGAGCUGGUAUGUUAUGGGUAAAUGGGCACUUCAUGCAGCAAAGCUGUAAAUUGGUAGCAUUUCUAUAAAGAAUAAAUGAAAAACGGGUAUAAUUGGCCAUUUGCUCUGAUUUUAUCUGAUAAAUAAAUUAUUAAUCCUACGAUACCCUGCAUAAUUAAUAAAAAAUUUAUGAAAAAAUGGGUAUAACAUGUUAAACCCACAUAUUCGCCAUUUACUCUGACUGUAUCUGAUAAAGAAAUUAUUAAUCCUUCGGUACCCUAGACUUAUGAAAUGGAGACUGGUGGGUUAUGCAUGCAACAUGAAUUAAAUAAAUAAUUUAUGGAGGAGUGAUAUAAAGAGCUGGUAAUUUAUUGGAAAAAGGGCAAAAUGAGCACUUUAUGGAGGAAAGCCAAAAAUAAAUAGUAAUUAAUAGGAACACGGGUAUUACAUAUUAAACCCAUUUAUUCACUAGAAAUUUUACUCUGAUUUUAUCCUGUGAAUAAAUUAGUAUUUUUGGAAUUUAUACAUAAUUAAUUUUUUUCUUUUGCAUUUCUAUAAAAAAUUAAUCGAAAAUUUUUUUCCGAGAGCACAAAAAUUCACAAGUCAAAAGAGUUGGUCUAAAAGGGAAAGAAACAGAUGAAUAUCAUUGUUUUAAAUACUAAAUAAAUAGAUGUAAAAUAUUCGUUAAAAGCUGGUACUUUGAUCAUAUAAUGAAGAAAAACUAUAAAGAGCAGGCCAUUUACGGGAAAAAUUUUCAUUAAUAAAAAUACGUAACGUGAGGGGGAGAGGGGGCCAAUUGGGGUGGGAGUGGCAGUAGCAGUGUGUGGUGGGUGGUGACAGGGGUGGUGGUGGGAGGGAGAAGAAAAGGGAGGAAGAAGAGGGAGAAGAGAGGAGAGUGAAAGAGGAAGAAAAGAGAGAGAGAGAGAGAGAGAGGAGGACAAGGGGGGUGGCAGUGGGUGGGAUGAGGGGCAGGAGUGGUCAUCAGAUGGACCGCUCCUGAGCUGUUCACAGCCAAGAUUUGGCCCAAAAAAAUUGUACGGUUCAGAUCACUUCUUGUAUCUCGUUUUUAACAACGUGUGUGGGGUCCACAAAAAUUUGUUCUAAAGUUACGCGUUGUGUAAAUAAAGUUACGUCAUGUGCAAAUAAAAUUACGCAGUGUGCAAAAUACACAAAAUCGCUAGCCCGUGGUCCUAGUGGGUGGUGGUGGGUGGUUGAAAUUUUUAUAAAAUAUCUCAAAUAAUUCUUAAAUUCUAAAAAUAUCCCAAAAUACAACCAUAAAAACACCCCUAAAAACAAUCUCAUUAUUUAAAAUACCAAAUCCGUGAAUGUGUUUUAACUGUUAUCCAUUGGUAUUCUAAAGUAUUAUUUUUCCAUCACAUAUCAGUUCUUUAUGGCUUUCCUCCAUUAUAAGAACAGAGUACCUAUGUUCCCAUAAACAUAUUUAUUUAUUAGAUAAAAUAAAAAUAAACUCGUUUCCAAUAAAACACCAGUUCUUUAUGGUUUUCCUCCAUUAUAAGAACAGAGUACCUAUUUUUCCAUACACAAAUUUAUUUAUCGGAUAAAAUAAAAAUAAAUUCGUUUUUCAAUAAAACACCAGUUCUUUAUGGCUUUCCUCCAUUAUAAGAACAGAGUACCUAUUUUUUCAUAAACAAAUUUAUUUAUCGGAUAAAAUAAAAAUAAACCCGUUUUUCAAUAAAACACCAGGUCUUUAUGGCUUUCCUCCAUAAAUUAUCCAUUUACCCAUUUUUCCAUAAGCUAAUUUAUUAGUUAGAUAAAAUCAGAAUAAAAUUAGGUUGAAUGACAAAUUACCCUUUAGGAUACAAUGGAAAACAAGAAACUAACCUAUAGCAAGUUUAAACUCCGUUUCCACUAGCUAUAGAUAUGCAAGAAAUUAUUUUUGCAAACUCAAGACACCUAAUUUAUAAAGUCUCAAGCAACCUUUAGAACCGUUAUAAAAAGCAACUUAUUCAUUCUAAAUUUUUGUUUGGAAUAAUUUCAUAAACCUCCCCGGAGGUUUCUAACAAUUUUACUUGGCACUCACAAAUAUUGAAAAAUCUCACUUGCCUCCUUUACUUUAAACUAUUUGUUUAUUUACAGCUCAUUUUAAAAUAUAAUAUUUAAAAAAUUCAUUUUGAGUACAUUAAAAAAUGUAAUUCCAAAUUUACCCUUUUGUUGUCUUACUUUUUAUUACCAAAACUUGAGUAUAUUAAAAACAAAUAAAAAUAAAAAAGUAUAAGGAUUUAUUCUGAUUCAAUAAAAUAUAGUGCAUUUUUUAAAUACCAAUAGUUAGUACUUGAAUGUUUAUUUGAAGUUUUUGCAAGUUACAAAGAUAAUGUUUUGGGUAGUCUAUAAAGUGUUUUUCAGUUAAUUUAUGAGUCUUUUACAUAUUUUCAAUUUUAUUUUAUUUUUUUGGUCCAAACUGAUGUAUUGAAAACGAAAAAAAUACAAGAAGAAAAAACGAGAGUUUUUGGAGAAAAUGAAAGAAAUUGAACUGAUCAUGUUUGAUCAAUGUCUUGAAAAUGGUAGAAUAUUAAAGGGCAAAAAACCUGGGCGGCCAUUAAACUUUUCCCAAGAUCAUGUUUUGGCCAUCGAACUAUUUUUUGUCAAUAAUUGGCCACUAAACAACUUAAUCAGGCCACCCGUGACCAUUUCGUCGAUAAUAGCUCUUAAUUUCUGAAAUUAGCAUUACACGUGGCAAACCACAGGGGCAAUUUUGUCCGUCAAUCCACUGACCGUUCACUUACAUUAAUACAUCAACUGAAAAGAAAAAAAAGAGCGGUAGAAACAAGCCAACUAAACAAACUGAAGUGUCUGGUCUUGUGGAGGAAAAAAUAGGGACUCAAUUUCUAGCCCUAAAUUCUGUGUCAGAAAUCGAAGAAGCCAAGAAUGUCGAGACGCUCUCCUAAACCCAUACCUAGAUGCUCCUGCGGAUUAACAGCAAUGGUGAAGACCUCAUGGACAAAUUGGAACCCAGCAAGAAGAUUUGUGGUCUGCACUUUAGGAGAGGUAAGAUCUUAGAGAGGUAAGAUGUUAGAUUUGUAAUGGAAAUAUUAUAACAAGAGGAUUUAGUCUUGGAAAAUGUAAAUUGCAGGAUGAGGGAUGUGGUUUUUGGGAAUGGUAUGAUCCAACAAUGUGCGAAAGAUCAACUCAAGUGAUUCCUGGUUUGCUGCGAAGAAUGAAUAGAAUGGAAAGUAAUAUGGAGGAAUUAGAAACUUCAGCAAGAAGAUGGGAAAAUAAAGCUCAAAAAUUGGAACUUAAAGUUGCAAAAUUGGAGGGUGAAGUGAAAAAGCACAAGACCAGAGAGCACUAUCUCAAAAGAGCUCUUCUCGGUACAUGGGCUUUUAUAUUGUUGUAUUGUUUUUGCUGCUAUCUGAAGACUGUUAUUAAGAGUGACCAUAUGUUGGCCAUCAAGGGAUAGUUAAUGUUGUUUGGUGAUUGUGAAGAAAUGGAAGUAGCAAGGUUGAGUGGAUACAGCUUUUGGUGGUAGUGUCCGUAGCAAUAGCAGACCAAAGAUUCCCAUGUUGUAUUUUAUAGUGAAUUUUUCAUUGGUUUGUUUUCUUAUGUAAUGGAAUCCUUGCUGUAAUUGUGUUACUUUUUACUGAAUGAAUGGAUGCAAGUUUUUUGUCGUUUCUUAUGAAUUGCUGUAAUUGUAGUUUCUUAUGAAUGCGGCAUUAUAACACAGUAAAUUAAGACAAAAGGAGUAUUUCCAUUGGAUAAAACUAACUACAAAAGUUUCCAAUUUGCAGAAGUACACAGCUUUCUGUUGAAUAUGCAAAAAGAUAGUGGAUGAAAAACAAAAGGCAUCCACCAUAACAAAACAAAAGCCAUCCACUAUCAACAUGAAGUGGAUCCUGCAGUUAAACUUUAAUGCAUCUAUUUUAACAGCCCACUGAACUUAAAUAAACUAUUAUAAGUCAAAAGACUUAUGUACAUAUCAGUCACCAUCAUCAACAUCUCAGAUCACAUCUAAAACUGUAUCCAAUUCCAUCUAACUUGCACCUGCACCUCUGCCUCUUGUAGAUCUAGAUCUAGAUCUACCAGCAUUUGCACCUCUUCUACCCCUCCACCUACCAACCUUGAAGGGUGGUUCCUUUCCCAAGUAGGCAUAGUUAGCAUUAAUCAUCCCUUUGUCAGCAUCAGUCAAGGGCCGUUUACCAUUUCUGUUGAAUUUCCUGCCAGAUCUAGAACUUGUAGCUGCUGGAUCUGGUUGCUGAACUACUGGUAUUGGCUGUUGAAGUGGUGGAGUUGGGUGUUGGGACAUUAGAUCUGAUUGCUGAGUUGCAGAUGCGAUUGGUUGGCUUGGUUGGCUAGCUGAUGGAGUUUCCUGUUGCUGUUGCCCUUGGGUCUCUAUACCUUGUGACUGAACUACUUUUGCUUGCUGUUUUCUUCUUGAAACCUUGUACAAAUGGAAGUUGAUUAGAGACUAUAUGUAUGUAUACUAUAUGACAUUUGAAAUACAUUGAACUGUAUGUAUACUCACAUGUUUUUUCUUCUUUGGCUGGCCAGAUUGUUGGUGCUCAGUCACCUCUUUGCAUGUUGCAGCAUUGUGCCCUGUUUUACCACAUUUUCUGCAAUGCAUAGUGACAUUUUUUCUAAGUUUUCUUCCAUGGUUCUUCCCUUCUGUCUCAUCUCUUCUCCUUGCCUUUUUUGGCCUCCCAGGCUGGACAGUGGGAAUUGGAGGAUCAAGUUGAAGCAUGCUGGACUCAGGCCACAGUACUUGGCUGCUGAUGGGUUGCAAGACAUUAUUAUAAAUCUGUAAAAAUAAGCUCUUGUAGUAACAUUCCACAAUCAUUUCAUGUGGAUCAUCCUCAGUUUGCUUAAUUGCUGCAAUGGCAUGGGUACAAGGUAAACCAGAUAAUUCCCAGAUUCGACAAGUGCAACUCUUCUUUCUCAAAUUCACAGCAAACUGGGAAUUCCUUGGGCCCUUUACCUGAUAACCAUCAAUCCCAUUGAACUGUGGGAACCACUGGAAAGACUCUUCAAUUCUGUCCUCAAUAAUUUUUCUAAUCAAAGGACCAGUUGAGUGUGGAUAUCUAGUCAUGGCAGCCUUUCUUUUUUGAAUUCUUUCCAUCAUCAGUUCUCUAAUAUUCUCCAAGCAAGAUAUAAUUGGUUUAUCCCUGGCCUCUAGUAUAUGUGAAUUGAAAGAUUCGCAUAGAUUAUUGACAAUCAUGUCACAUUUAGUGUGAGGAGAAAAGUAAGCCUUACACCAAUGCAUCGGAUGAGGAGCCUUCUCCACCCACUUGUAUGCUUCAUUGUCAUACUCUUUCAAGUCCUCAGCAGCUUUCUUGUACAUCUCAAUUGUACUACUCCUAGCUAUCGCCCACAGCAUCCCUUUAAGUGCCUUUCCAGGAUGUUUCUUCUUGAAAUUUUGAUACAUGUGCUGCACACAGUAUCUAUGCUCAGAGUUGGGUAGCACCUCGGAUAAUGCUCUGUCCAAUCCCUGCAUAAAAAAUAAAUGAAUUAUUGGUUCAAACAGCCACAAGGCUCACAUCAAAUGUUGGAUAAUAAGAUCCAUACCUUUUGUUGAUCAGAGAUGAAAGUGUAGUGACACUGAUUAUCUAUUUCCAGAUCCGCUUGGAGAAGUUGUAAGAACCAUUUCCACUGUAUUGUAGCUUCCUUCUCCACUAUGGCCCAAGCAAUAGGCCACCAACCAUUGUUGGGAUCAACUGCCACUGCUGAUAACAGUUGACCAGGGUAAGGCCCUUUUAUAUGGCAGCCAUCAAGUCCAAUCACAGGUCUACACAUUUUGAAUCCUUCUUUUAGUGCACCUAAACAACAGUACAGUCUCAUGAACCUAGGAUUCGAACCUGGAUCUCUAAAUGGAGUGAACUCGACUACCAUGGUAGAAUUAGUAUGAGUCUUCUUAAUCUCCUCACAAUAUUCCCAUAUAUGCUUAUACUGCUCGACUGCACAACCUUUGAUUCUGUCAACAGCUAUACCUCUAGCAUUUCUGGCUAUUGUUUUCGAUAUUUGUAUCUUGUACUCCUCAUGCACUGUCUGCCUUAAAGAAUGGAUUGGAAUGUUCAUAUUGGCCAUAAUUCUGUUCUCAUAUCUCUCAGCAACCCAUUUAGCAGUCAUCAUUUUAUUUUUCCAGGCAUGACUGCAGUUUUCAUGUACAUCAUAAAGGGUCUUAAUCACCAAAUCAUUCGUCCCAAGUGCUUUCUCUUGAGAAGCAUAACACUCCCAGUUACAUGGAUCCUUGCACCUUACCCUUACUCUCAGUUCCUCAUUAGUGUAAUACCAAACAGGUCUACCAUUAGCAAUCGAAUAAUUCUGCAUUGCGGCCUUAAACUCAACUGAUGAUGCAAAUCGCAUCCCAACCUGGAAAUGUGGAUUUCUCAUGUUCUUUUCAGCAUUGAAGUCAACAUAUUUGAUUCCCUUCUGCACUUCAUCAUCUUCAUCAGAAGAAGCAUCAAUGCUAUGCAGGUCAUCCUCCAUCAUAUUGUCAUGCAACACAUCUUCAUCAUCAGCUUCUUCCAUUUCCUCAGCAGCUUCCUGUGAUGAUGUGUUAUGGUCAGCCUGUGCUGAUGAUGUCUUCUCCCUUCUUGCUGACCACUUUCUUUUUCCUCUUGUUGUUUUUCUAGGAUACUUUUUCUUUGCUCUCUUGCUGCCACCAGAUGAUCCAUCAGUUGCCUGUGAUUGUUUUUCAGCUUGGGCAUCGCGUUGACCAUCUCCAUGUGUACCACUUUCCAAGCCAUUUACAUCCUGGCUCUCAUGAAGUAUAGAUUCAGUAGUUCUCCUCAUAACAGGAGAGGGAAUUUCAACUGUGGGAGUUGGUUUCUCACUCCCAAGCAUUUGAUCAUCUUUGCAAAACUCUUCAUCAUCAGUGAAAUGCUCCCUUUCUGAACUGCUGUCAUUUUUAUCAUCUUCUUCACCUGCCCUUGCAUUCACAUCAGUUUUAUCUCCUUGACUCCUACUCUUUACACCAGUCCCACUAGUUUCUCCCUCAAUGACAACACUUACUCUUACACCUUUACCUCUACUUGUACCUCCUAUUGCUGGUCCAGGGGCAGUCAUAUUUGUACUAACAAAAGAGCUAUCAAAAAGAUUUUUUCUAACCACCAAUUGUUUAUCAAGUUCUACAACUCCACUGCCAUGUUCAUCUACAACUACACUACCAUGUUCAUCAAUUUCUUCAAUUACAACCCCUGUUUUUUUCUUACUACCUAACAGCGGGGAAUGUGACUGGAUGUCAAGAAUUUCAUGUAAAGGCCUAUGGUCACAGUAAACAUCUAUCAGUUUGUGCUCGUACGCCCAUUUGCACAUUGCCACUAUAUCUGCAUCUCCUUGUAACUCUCUUAAUCCCUUAUUCAAAUCACUCCCAGGUUCUAAGUAAUAGUAAAGCAUUGCACCAUUAUAUCCUAAUUCCUCAACCAUGUCAUUUAUCUCAUGGACAGACAUUCUCUCCGCAUCACACGCAUCAAGAUAAUCUAUUUCACCACCAACGUAUGUUUUAUACUGACGCCCACUAAAUCUACCACCAUGAAACAUUCUAAUACUGAAUAGUUCAGAAUUAGGCACUGCAAUGAAAUGGGAAAAAAAAAGGAAUCACUUCAUUUGAAAAAAAAAGACUAAAAAAAACACUUGUUUAUUUCAAAAUUUCCCACUUUUACAACCGGCAGUUGGAUGAAAACCCUAACAUUUAAACUUUAUAAUGCUGCUACAUAUUCACAACCCACAAAUAAGCACCUUCGAUUUCAGACACAAACUUGAGUAAUACACCCAUUACAUUUAGUUUAAAGUAUAGUUUCAGUUCAUUCACAUGAUUUUCCCCAAAAAAUAACUUACCGUAAAUUUCAUAUGGAUCAAUGUCGAUGUCUCUUCUCCUGAUUUUCCACUCCAUAGAUUCACCACGAUUUUCCCUUCUCUUCGAUCUUCAAAACCCUUCUCUUCGAUCUUCCUACAACGAUUUUGAGAACUUCAGUUUGUUUAGUUGGCUUGUUUCUACCGCUCUUUUUUUUCUUUUCAGUUGAUGUAUUAAUGUAAGUGAACGGUCAGUGGAUUGACGGACAAAAUUGCCCCUGUGGUUUGCCACGUGUAAUGCUAAUUUCAGAAAUUAAGAGCUAUUAUCGACGAAAUGGUCACGGGUGGCCUGAUUAAGUUGUUUAGUGGCCAAUUAUUGACAAAAAAUAGUUCGAUGGCCAAAACAUGAUCUUGGGAAAAGUUUAAUGGCCGCCCAGGUUUUUUGCCCAAUAUUAAAAUAUACCAAAUCACAUACAAUGCUUCUAUAUGGUUGAUAUUCUCCACGCGCGUUAGGACUACAACAUAACCGGUCUGUUAGCACCUUUAUUUCCAAAUACACGUGUCAUGCUCUACUCCUCUGCCUACGGUGGGACGGUCAAUGCCCUUCCCACCAUAAAGGUAUCCCCUUCGUCCCAGUGCCAUAAUUGAGAAGACAAGUUUCACCCUUUUCUCUGUAGUUUUCUUCAUAGAUUUGCUGUAGGCCCUCCUAGAAGGAAAGCACCAGUAAAAGGUGGAGCCCGUCAUUUUCGAGGACUGGAAUCGACUAAUGUUUGGGAUGAGAACAAAUAUAUUUUCUUCAUGGAUUUGCUCUAUAGGCCCUCCUAAAAGAAAUGGACCAAUGUAACGAACAGUCAGUCCUUUGAGGAGUGGUGUAAAUUAAAAGAUUUACAAUAAGGGAUGAGAACAAAUAUCUCGUAACAAUAUUAGUGCUAAGGAUUAUGUUAAAACUGUUGUCCCAAUUUAGAGAUACACACGUCUCACAUUCAUUUGUAUUUCAUGACCAUCUGCUUCAAAUUCCUAACUCGUGUACUUUUCCCUCCUAUGUACCAGCAAAAUUUCAUGUUUUCCUUAGUAAGGAUUUCAGCACCUCCAAGCUUUGUAAGGAUUGCAACACUACCAAGUUUCUCUUGCCACACUAUCCUUUAAGUUAGAGGAAUUUAACAUCUUUGAUCAACCUACCAUAGAUGACAGUCCAACAUAUUUUUGAUGAGCCUCUGCUUCAGGAAUAUUCAUACAAGAUGUUAUUGCAUUUACGGGAUUCUGGUUUGGUAUUUUGGCCAAAUGCAACUACUAGUCUCUCAAAAUUGAUUUUCUUGUCGUCACGUUUAACUAGAAAUUACAAUUCUUCAGAUGAGAUCCAUUUCAUCCAAAAAAAUUGAGUGAGAUACUUUAGUAGCACUAGUUCUUGAACCUCUCGCUUCCCAUCAUCCCAUGAGGGUGCCCGGAUUUUCCUGAGAAGAGGUAAUGUACUGUGUUUCUGUGGUAGUAUGUGUUGAAUGGUUGGGAGCAGGGAUACUAUUUAUCAUAAACACAGUACCAUACAUGAGUAUGGAUGAUCAUAAAAAAUACCUACAUCCUAUGCCAAUUAUCUGGGAAGAUUAUAACAUGGUGUGGUUAAGUAGCGUAUAGAUACCAGUAGCAAUCCCAAGGCUACAUUGAUCAAGAGCAUCCAACCAAAAAACUGUUGGGUGAUUACUUUUUUUUUUUUUUUGGUAUAACCCACAGGUAUCCGCAUCUGUUUUACAAUUUACGACUAAUCCUGUUUGAGUUACAUCGGACCUUCUUUGCAAGGGAAGUUCUCCUAAUAUUGUUUUUUCCAUUCCCAUGUAUUUUGAAUCCGAGACCUCAUAUUCAAAAGAUGCAAGCCUCUUCACUUGCACCGACAUCCGUUGGUGUUGGGCGAUUACUUAGUCUAAUAGAUUCCGUUGACAAUUCUUCGGCAGAAUUGAGGGUUGAAGUUGUAGAAAAGCUAUCUGGCAUUUUGUCUCGGUGGUCAUCUUAAAUAUGCGUUCAAAAGCUGUACGCGCUGGACAAAAUAGAUAUGGAGAGGGCUGCUUGUGGUCAUUAGUCCAUCUGGGGAUCUUGAGAGUGCAUGGAGUAAUUGUCGCUUCCGUUUGGAUUAACUAUUUUUCGGGAUAUUUUUAAAAAUUUUUAUUGUAGCAGAGUUUUCAUAGUAUAUUUUAGAAUAUAUUUUGGGAUAUUUAAGAGUAGAAGAGUUUUUAGAAUAUAUUUUGAAAUAUUUAAGAGUAGAAGAGUUUUUAGAAUAUAUUUUGAGAUAUUUUUUAAACAUUAAAAAAAAUUUAAACUACUUUUUAGAGUACUUUUUAAAAAUUUUAAUAGUAUUUGGAAAACUAGUUUUUGAGAUUGAUUGUUUUUUCUUGGGCUGAGACUCGUAGUGUUCUUUUGACCAAUUGUCAGUUUGGCGUAGUGGCUUGGUUUUUGUCAGGCUGCUGAGUCUAAGGACUGCAGCAUAAUAAAGGCUCAAUUUGAGCAUUAGUCUGUUAAUUCAAUAGGAUUGUACAAACGAUGCUGUUUUGGUCUUGCUUAAGUACUAGUAAUCGAUGUCGUUUCAUGAGCCAUUAGUUAGGUAAUUCAGUUGUAAUCGUCUGACACAAGCUGUUAGAAUUGGUUAUAUUAGGCGGGGCCCACAUGAAUGAGGGUAACAGAAUAGAUUCGAUCAUUUCUUCCACUUCCUCUCUUCUGAAUCUUCUUCUCUCUCUCUCUCGACCUUCAAUUCCCUGCUCCUUCUCCAAUUUCUCCAAUUUCUACCAAAUUCAUCCUAGAUCUAUCUCACAAUUCCAGAAACAACCUUGAGUUCGUGACAGUUUUCAACUGGUGGUAGAGCCGCUGGCUCAGCCACAGCAGGUAAGCAUGCCAAAACAUUGUAUCGAGUCAGAUUUCUGUCCUUGAAGGAAUAGUAGAUCCUGAUUUGGAAGUAGACAGUUUCAUCUCUCAGUCUUCAUUUAGGAGUUGGAUAUGAGGCCCUUCAUUCUGCAAAGGGAGAUAAUGGAGGAUAGCAUUGAUGAGUUUUUGUUGGAGUGCAAGAAGCAAAGAAGAAUUCUUGAUAAAAACAAGAUAACCUGGAGCGCCAUAUCCGCAACGUCUUCACUUGUAAUUUCAAAGACUCCAAUGAGUAUCUCAGGUAAGGCUCCAAACAAAAGCAGAUGUAAAGGGAAAAUCACAAAGAAGUUCGAAGCUUGUUUAUCCGAGACCCUCACUCAAAUAUACUGUAUAUAGAUCUCUUGUCGUCUUGAGAUAUACGAUCACAAGCCUAAAGAAAAUAGAUAAAUCAACAUCACGACCUUUUCUCUUCUGAAAAAAUUGCUGUUUUCUGUUAAAAAUACAUCACGAACAAAUCUAAUAGAUACAAUUGGCCGGAACCACCCCAGGGAAUCCCAUGUGCUAUUUCAUUAUACAGAAACCAAUUAAUGAAGCCUCGCUACUUUAGAAGGGGAAAAAAAUAUAUAAGGAAAAGUGAGAAAUAAGAAAGCCCCCAACCCGGAAGGAGAAAACCUCACUCAAAGAACUACAUGGUUGAAAAAGAAUCUCAAAACUUCGAUCUCCAAGAAACCCAACUCCAACAAAGCUAAGCCGAUCAGAUACAAUGGUACAGCCCUGAAUCCCGCCAGCCCUUGCACUGUAUUGUUCGAAACCCACCUCAAUUUCCUGGGAUGCUUGGGCAGGCUGUCUGUAUAAUCAAUUUUACAAUAAUCGUCAUCGACAAAUUCUUCAAUGAUGAAAUAAGUAACUCAAAGCAAGCCAGCAAGCAAAGCCCCGGGAUCAGAUGUUGCCGAAGGUGAGGGUGGAAUUGUUGGCUGAGGUUGUGGAGGUACUGGUGCAGGCGGCCGGGCAACUAGAGGGAUGCUGACUAAUUGUUCUUUAAUAAAUUCCUUCAACCUGUACAUCAUCCAGAAGAACAUGUUUCGGGUUCAAAUUCAAGCUUAUAUCAUACAAUUGAAAGGUAAAGACUUCUGAUAGAAAUCAAAGCAAAACACGUACUCAAAAGUUAGAGUAGGAUCGCCCGAGGCAACAGUCAUCCGUAGUUGAGUUCUAUCUGCUGGAUCCGUUUCUACUCUAAGCUGCAUAACCAACAGACCAUCACAUCAGAAUGAUAGACAUGUUUUCAUAGUAGCAAAAGAGAAAUAAAUCACAAGCAACCUUUACUAAAUAAAAAGGGACGAAAGUCUACGGUACUAAUAGAAUAAACAAAGACGAAAAAAAUAAUGAAGAAUGGUACUAAUAGAAUAAACAAAGACGAAAAAAAUAAUGAAGUACAUAUUCUUGGAAUAGUUUAAUCACGUAUAUUAGCAUUACGUGGAGAAAACAAAGAACCAAACCCACUCAAGAACCAGGAUGACAGUAAAAUGGACAGUAAGUGGCAGCCAUUCUUAGAAAUAAAGCCACAACUGGCUUACCAAACACAACAUAGCUCGUGUACUCUCUGAAUAGAAAGUUGUGCUGGCAACCAAAUUGUUUGGGUUUGGAUCCUGCAAAGAAAAUAAGAGGUUAAUGCUAUGAGCAUUUAUAUGCAGUUAGGAAUAAUUCAAAUGUAAUGAACACAAACAGGAUAAAGUGAAAAACUUACAAGCCCUGGACAAACCAUCAACCUGUAACUGUUGAACAAAUUGGCCAUUUCUAGAAGUGGCAUUGGUCUUACUCCUCUAACCUGGUCAAAUGGAAUAGGAUAGUCAAGUUAUACAAGUAGAUCACUAUUGCUGAAUAUAUGGUCAAACUAAAAAAUAAAGCGAAAAAUACCACUUCUUGAAGCUUUAGAGGAGGUCCAGAAAGUGAUCUCCACUGGGGGAAAAACUCUUCACCGGACACUUGUAUAGGCUGAAGAAACUUAUUCAAGAGAGCAGGAAGGCGAAGUUUUACAUUGACCUGUUAAGUGAUCAGGGAAAGAUUAUUUAGAAUUAUACCACAAGUAUUAUGAGAAAAUAAAAAGAAUUUCAAACCACAACCCAAUAAAAAAAAUAUAAUAAAUAACCCUAGAAAUUUCAUACUCAAAAUCAGUUCGUUUAAAUGCCAAAAACUUUAUUAUGGGGUUACAAUACCGCAUGACUCGAAAACUUGUAGGAAAAAUCCAGAACAGCCACAUCCCUACUUGGCCGGAGAUUAACAACCUCGAGUGGGCAUUGCACCUAAACAACAAAACCAGAUGCUUUCAAUGGAUGAACAAUCUUAAAAGAAAUGCACACAGAGAAGAAAAUGGAAAAUAAACCUGCAGUUAACCAACCUGUGCUCUUGGGGGUAUAGUCUCUGGUACAAGUGAGAGUUCCAAUUUUAAGUGAGCUGGAGGCAAUAUUAAAGCUUGAACUGAAACAAGUGGUGAUGUAUUCUUAUUUCCAAGGAAAAGCACUAAUCGCCCAUGUGGGGCUCUCCAUUCUGCUUUAAUGCCAAUCUGAAAUUACUCAACCCCAAGAAAUCAGUUGUCUACAGAGAAGGCUUAAAGGAGGCUUGAGCAGCCCCAUCCAAACUGCAAAACUGAGAGCAUACCUGAAUAUAAGGAUCCUCAUACAGCACGCCACUGUCCUUUAGGCACAAAGCAUGAAACCUUUCAGCAAUAUUUCCAAUUGGCUGCAAGCAAUGAUCAGAGAGGAAACUCAAAAUCAUAAACACCACAAGAAAUGACAUAAUCAUCAUAAACACCAAAGGAAGUCCUAUGCCAUUUGCAAAAACUAAACGUACAAAAAACUCAUCAAAGUCAUUUUCCUUGACAUGGAAUCUGUAUGGAGAAAUACGCUUGCGUGUUACAGAAGAAAAAGGUGAAAAAGCUAAAAAUUAAAAUAAGAACAAACUCAUUCACACAAAUUACACCCUAGGGAAAAAUCCAGCUAUAACUUCUUAAUAUACUGCCAAUUCUUAAAUUUUUGCAACCGUAAAAUCUAGAAAAUGUUGUCUCCACUACUGGACAGUGCUAAUAUUAGCCUACAACUUGCACAAGAAAGCACCUGGACAGUGUUCAUCUGGUCUUCAACAGGAGCAAUAGCCAACGCCUCCCCUGCAUUUGGCACACCAGCCAAACCAGAGGCCUGAAUAUGCUCAGCUUCAGCAGUAGCACUAGGAGGGCCUUCAAUAGCCAUUGGACCCAGGAGAUCUUCAAAGGGCGGAUCCACAACAGUGAGUGUGCCAUUUGCUUCAGUCACAGCUGGAUCUGGAGAUUCACCAUCCUGAAAAUUUAUACAUCAAAUUAUAAUCUGAUGUGACAGUGAAGAAGUAGAGCGUCAAUAUCAACAAUUGGCUCACUAAAAUCCAGGGAAGGUCAUCUCACCACAUUACUCAUGGCAGGCACCUUUACAAGACUGAGCUGGCUCACAGUUGAAGGUCCAUUAGCAGGGUGCUGGUCGGUCACCACCAAAGCAUUAGAGUUCUGCUGCUGAGCACGCAACUUCAUUGCACUUUGCUCAGCAGUAUCAGCCUCAGAAUUUUCAGCUUUCUUAAUCAACGCAGACUGCAUAACAAAAAAACAUCACCACAAUUUUUAUCAAUCAUGGAUCAGAAUAAUACAAUAAUCAACUUUAAAGUGAAAAUCAAGUCAAAGAGUGCUUCUUCCACAAUGCUGAUUGCUGUAAUUGAUGAAACAGACAAUUGGAGAAUAAAUGAGAAUCUCAAAUGCACACCUGUCGCUCAGGGAACUUUGGCAUUUCAGCUAAUAUAUCCAUCAAAGCUGCACCUUUCCUACUCAGUUCAAUAUACUCAACAGCCCGCUGUUGUAGUUCAACAUCAAUACAACUUCCAUAUCUGAAAGUAUGUUAAAAUGUGCCAGUGACAUUGAAGAAAUUAAGUCAUUCACUGGAUGAAUUUCAAAUUAAAACGUGAAAUUAUCUCACUUGUUGAAUAUUGCCCAGAUUUGAGACUGUAGCUCCGGGUCAGGUGGUUGGGUGUGCAUCAAAAUCUUUGCAUAUGAUGAAAGAAGAAUAGAAACUGUUGGAGUCCUGAACAAACAUAUUGAAAUGAGGGAGGGAUAGCAAUGAACAAAUACUGAGAAUGAAAGACAACAAAGCCCAAAAUCCUUACGAAACAGAAGGAAGCUUCUCAUGCAUGACACUGAAAAUUUCUUUUGGAUUACAUCCAGGCCGUCUAGCCAGAAGAUGGCUGUACUCUCCAAGAAUAUAUGCACUUACCUAUUCCAAAAAAAAUUCAGAAUUACAGGAAACUCAGUAUUCAGAAAGGCCAAGUGGAGUCUACUUUAUCAGUUGACUGCAUUAAAAUAAAAAGCACCACAAAAUCAAAUUCUGCUAAUUGAUUUUCCUCCUUGAAGAUCAACAAGUAAUAUGCAGAAUGCUUGGCAUGUCAUUAACAUGAAGCUCUAUAAAAAUGUUCAAAUGGGAAAUUGAUCUAGUAGAAUCUCUGAUAAUAGAAAAUAUCAGCAGGCAUAAUUAGAUAGAGUAAGUGAAACUGAUAGAUAAAAGAACUAUGUUCAUUUACAUCUCUGUUAUGUAUGCAUAAACAAAGUACAUACAAUGUACAUAUAUAUAUGCUUAUUCUCCCCAAAAGACUACCCAUUGCGUUGAUCGACAUGAUUUUGCUAUUUGGAAACCAAGACUAGAAGGCAUUGUAAAUGAUCAUCAUAUUCCUGUUAAUCAAAUUUGAAGGCAAUGGGAACAAACCUUAACCAUUGUUUCAUGAACAGCAGGCUUAUCAAGAUACUCUCUGGCUUUCAGUGCAGCAUAAGGCUGAUAAACAAUACAAAGACAUAGGUUACUCGUAUGAAGAUUUAAAUUAUAUAAAUCCAGAAAAGAGCUACCCUCGUUACCUGUAAAUCCUCGUUAUUCGUAACGAACUGCACCACACGAAACCAAAUGUCAUCACUGACAAAAUCCCCUGCCUUGUCAAUCAACUGAAGGAUGACAUCCACAUACCUACAAGUGAAAAGUGAAAAGCAUUACAUAUGGACUCUAUUACUAGGUUACUGAAUAUUUGUUUAGGUUGGUCUUUGAAUGAAUGGACGGAUCAAAUCCCAUACCGACUUUUUGGACUUGAAAGCCUACAAACUAUAGUACUCGAAGUUCCUGAGUUUCCUACUACUACUUGUUAGAUUCAAAAUUUGUGCAAAUUACAGUACUUGAAGCUCCUAAGAAUACCAAUCCCACCCAAGAAUUUGCAAUUCAAGCAUACACCAAAUCAACCAAGUAGAAUGACUAAGCUUGAUAGCAAAAUAUGUAUUUAUCUUUGGAGACAUUUCCAUACCAUGACAAAUCAGGGGCAAACUUCUCCGAUAGAAUUGCAAUUUUUAGUGACAAUUCUUCACGCAUAGCAAAGUCUGCAGAGCUGAGAUACUGAAAACAGAUAAACAUUAGCACGGGAAAGAACUUCAUUUGCAUUAGUACAAAAGCAACUACAUACGAAUAAUAAUUUAGAAGCUAGACGGGACAUCUGCAGUGCUUGGUCCAGCAUAUAUAUAUAUAUAUAUACACACAUACAUAUAGAUAUAUACCUGUAAUAAUUCUUCAACUAUGUCCUUUGCGUUGGAAACAUCACACAUGCCAUAUAGCAAAUCAAGUGCACGCCUUCGGAUGCUGUUGAUAAGAAUAAGAGUCAAUCAUAAGAAAGAUAAAUAACAGAUUUUUGUAUUUAGUUUGUGAGAGACUUGUGGUGUGAUAUAAUUUGUGUUUCAUCAUCACUUGUUUUGUGCCUCGGGUCCGCCCCCCAUUAAUUCUAUAUUUUCAUUGGGUACUACUAAAACCUUACUUACCCAAAAAAAAAAAAAGAGAUAAUUAGCGGAUGGCUUAACACUCCAAUGUAUACAUGUUAAAAAAAAACCCCACAAACACACACACACACAAAAACAAUCUCACAGGAAAAAAAAUAUUGUACUGAAAGACCUUAAUAGUAACCUACUGAUGUUUUAGCAAAAUAAAGAAGCUCCGGCAUCCAGUGAAAAUUUCUUAUUUCUUUGAAUUAGUAUCUUAAGUUCUAGGUAACCAACCUUGUAUAUUACACGUGAAAAUAUUUCUUACAUGAUACGACCAUGUAUCUCACUCUACAUGCCUUCAGUUACCUAUUGUGCAGCUGUUAGAAAAGAGAACCACAAGGGAAAUUCCACAGAAGAACACAAAGUACUUCAUCUACCUGAUAUCAGGAUCCUUUAAUGAGGUAAUGAUCUGGGCUUGAUGUCUUUUUAUAAUGUCCUGUACAUCUGUUACCAUUAACAUCCGCGUCAUAUUCUCCUGUGUCACAGAACAAAGAAAGUAACCAGGUCAGUGCCACCAUCUCAAACUUUCUAAUAUGAGAGUGGAUGGGCCACAUCUGCAGGCUCUAAACAUCACUUAUUAGGACAAUGCAAACAACCUAUUUAAGCAGCAGAAGUAUAUAGGACAAUACAAAAACAGCAGGAAGGAAGAAGGGUAGGACAUCAGAGACUUCAGUGCAUAGAAAGCGGAAAGGAACAACUUACCAAGCCAAGAUAUCGAAUAUUUGGCUCACGCACAGCAAUAAAUUUCCCAAGCAGUGCAACACACUGGGACAUCAUCUCUUUUUCAGCAUCAAGAUGCAUGACCUGAAUAAAAGAUGACAAAAUUUGGAAAAAUACCACUAAGUAUGUGCAUAGAUGAAAUAGUUUGAAACGAACCACUGGUUCAAAACAAGUUGCAGCAUGGUUUUCUAGAGCAACCUUAACACAUUUAAGAAAGCAAUGGCUAUAACUGAGAUACAAUUAAACAGCAUAUUUGCAAUGAUAUAUCAAGUUCAGAAUUCUGCCUAAAAGUCUCUUGAAAUAUCAUGACACAACUACCAAGUCUAUUCAUUCUAGCCAGGAAACAUAAAGAGCAAAUAAGAAUAAGAUUCUUUUUUUUAUGAGACAUUUCAAGAAAAAAAUUCCACAGCAGUAUAGCUCAAAACCUAAAUGUUCAUACUUGUUUUUUUACUCAUUUGAUACUAAAUCCAAAUUCAGAAAAUCAAUUACUUCUCAAAUUUUGUACUUGCAGUAGGAAAGGAAAUUUAACUGACACUAUUACCUUUCCACUCAUAUUGCUCAAUCUCAAACAUAUCUCAAGCAGUAAUUAUAAUUCUUCCAAAAGAAACUAUGGAAAUAAUGCAAAUCAAUCGGCCUCUUGGCUCAAAUUUACUGUUGAAAAAUCUACCCAUCAAAAGAAUCCUAAAACAAAUGAUCACUAACUACAGUACAACACACUCAAUGGUAACUUACAAGAGCAAGGGCUUCAAAAAGCACAGCAUGGGAUGCAUUAUUCUUGUUGACAUUUUUCACUACAUCAGUUCCCAUGAGUAUCCGUUGUAAAACCUAAUUAACCAAGAUAAAUCAAACAUCAUAUCCAAUAACAAGUAAUACACUGGGAUAUAAGAUUCAGUGAAGAAACCAUCAAAAACUUCAUUUGUAAAGGAAGAACACCUCAAAUAAUGAUCUUCUAGUGUUUGGAUCUUCAACAGUAGGAAAAUACUGAAGAGCCCUCAUUGUCUUAACCUGGAUCAUGUAAUAGUGAUUAUUAAACAUAACUAACAAUUUAAAACGUCACUUAAAGAAAUAUAUUGCAUGAUACUAAUUGAUGAAAAAAAUUGAAUUGAUAUAAUCACCCACUUUUUUCCUUUUUCCAAAUCCAUUCACACCACAAAAUUAUGCAAGAUGCAAUGGCAACUAAACUACAUCAAAGAAUACCCUUCUACAUUCUAUAACUGCUUCUCUCUAAGUGCGUACCCGUUCAUCCUGUAAAUCAAUCUCGUUCAACCUAAGAACUUUCAGAUAAUUUAAGAUUUAAGAUCAUUUCUAAAAAAGUCCUAAAUCAUAAUUUUUGUUGCUAAUUGUAAGAGCAAUUUCUGUAAACGUGUCUUGAUUUAUGAAGGCUCACCAUAGAAACCUGCAAAAAGUAUUAUGCACAGACAAGUUUCAUGGUACUUACUGACACACACCAGAAUAUGUUGAAAUACAAAAGAAGAAAGCCCAUCAAAGAAAAUUUUCUGCGCUAUACCUACCAAAGGAUUUUCUCCUGCGAGUAACAUGAUUUCCCUUGUAUGCUCAAUUCAACUCCAAUAAUGUGAUUUUAAUAAAUGCACCAAGAUUAACCCCUCAAAUCAAUUAGUUCCAGCUUUGAAAUUAUAAUCCAUGCACUUUUGGGAUUCACAAAUUUGUAGUCCUCUAAAAUCUAGAAUUAUGCUCCACCUGAAUUGUCCAAAUUAAAAAAGGAUCCAAUACAACUGAAUUUACAUCUUUACAGUUUAAGAUGGAGUUCUCUGUUGAGAAUUAUGCUCAAAUCCAAAAUCUUGGACUCAAGAAACAAUAAAUGCAAGUUAACCAUUCAAUAUGAGUUAUUUACAGUAUUGCAGCCCUAACAACUAACUCAGAGUUUAACAGAAAAGGCAUACAGACCUGAAGCCAGGGAGAUGGAAUACCAUAGUAAGUGUAUUCUUGUGGAAUAUCUUGGUUCCUUGCCAGCCUUUCCAAAAUUUUAACACACUUUGGCAGACAACUCCAGUAUGUGUCAUGGUUAUUCGACACUAAGGCAACUAAAAGGCUCAUUGAAGAUGUUAAGACACCCAAAUCACGUUCAUCUAACAGUUGUGCCAUUUGAUCUGACCUGAUAAUAACAACAAAUAGCUUAUCAAAUUUGCAAUGGUACAAUUAUCCAUCAAAUAUGUCUACAAUUUUAUACUAAUUACCAGCCAUCCACAUUCACAACAUCAGGAUUUUUUCUAAACAGGCGUAGGAGACAUAAAGCAGCCUUCUUCCUCACAAGGGGCCUGCAACUACUGGAUAGCUGAAGGGAAAGAAACUGUCAACAAAAAUAUUCAACUCAUUAGUACUCAAACAAAAGUCAAGAAACUGUCUGCUUACAAGUAAUUUUUGAACAUCAGGUGCAAGUGAUUCAGCAAACUCCCUCCCACCAAUAUUUCCGACCUGUACAAGGCAACAAAUAAAGACAUAACAAAAAUAAAACGAAAAAAGAAUAAAAGAAAUUUGCUAAUUAUCUAGAAAGGUCUAUAACCAUACCAGAGUCAGUGCUAGGCACUGGAAAGUCUCAUUUCUACCGAUGAUAUCAUUCCGCACUGUAUUAAUAGCUAAUCUCAAAAAGUCGUGAUUCUCAUUAAGCAAACACGAUGUCACUAUGUACCCAACCUGCAGCCAGAUCGAGUCAGUCGAACAUUCCCACAAUAACAUCAUUGUCCCAAAGCAGAACCAAAUGUAGAAAAGUUCAUGAAUGUAAGCAGUAAAUAAAUCCUAUGAAGGAUACCCUAAAGCAUCUAUUUAACAAAUUAGGGGGAAUUUUUCUACAUUUGCCAGGCAAGAGCUAAAUUCAAAAAGACAUCAACAUCCCUAUUGCACGCAUAUUACAGAAUCAACUUUGAACAUUCAAACAAAAUUCGCUGACUAUUUCCAGAUUUUAUAAUGGACCUGUUUUCGUGCUGCUGCUUUGACCUCACAAUGUGCCAGAAAGCUUACUAAACAAAGUCACAAGCAACAUCCGCUCAGCAUUUGAUAAUUUUACUGGUUCAAUGGGUGUAGCAAACGACUGUCCAUAACAUUGGCACAAGGCAUCCAAGAACAAAUCCAAAAAUCAAAAGUUCUUAGUCCUCCAACUGAUUGUUGCAUUCAAUUGGCAAUAAAGUUUAAAUCAUUUCAAAACCAAUAGUUAUAGUUUGAUUCCAUCAAUUAUUACAAGUACUGCAUAAGGAUGGAAAAAGCACAUCUAUAUAACAAAUGAAAAAAAAUGUAAAGUGCUGCAGCAAAUUCAAAACUUUUUAGAUGCAUGCUUAACAUGAGAUAAUCGUCAUGAGUUGACAGGAUCCAGUUUUUAAUGAAUGUCAUCUAUCUCACACAGAAUCUAUUUUAGUGCAUGUAAGCAACAAGAAAUAUAGCAUAGCAAAAUAAUUAUCAAACAUGCAAUAAGAACUAUCCAGCACAUGUAUUGUAGUGAACGACUAGCUUAUUUAAGUUGAUUGCAAUCAAACGUAGUUGGGUUCUGAGCAAUUGAUUGAAACCUUAUUGCCAAAAGUAACAAUACUAGCAUUACAAGACAAGAUCAUUGCAUUGUGUUAUCAAAAACUGAGGUCAUCAGGUACCUGCUUUUCAGGAUACUUGGGAGCAGAUAUUAAAGAAACGGCUUCCAUGUGACCAAAGUCCACAUCAUAACCAAGCAUGUAUAUGUAAAGCAUUUUCCAGACGUAUUUCUUCUUCUCAUAAGGAGUCAAACCCUGUAGUGAACAAAACAUAUGUAAAAAAACUCAUACAAUACCAAAAUCAGACUCAUCUCUAAGAUACAGUUGAAAAUUUUGAUCUCGCAGAAUAUAACAAAAUUUGCAAGCAAUAUGAAUGCCAAAAUGACAAGCAGAGCAAUAUGCUGAAAAAUGUUGCUGACAAAAAAAUUUCUGAAAAAAAUAUUAAACUUGACCAGCCCCAAGGGAAGCUACAAACUCCAAGUUUAGCAAAUAAAAACUGGCCAUAAGAGACACCCCGAAAAUUGUAAGUAAGAAAAAAAAAUUGCAGACAAUUUCGUUUCUGCAAUAACACCCUAAGGAAGUCCAUUACUCAGAGCUCUUGUCAUAACUGAACAGUUUGUUCAACUUCAUAUAUCUAAGGAUUGGUUAAAGAAUUUGUAACGAUUUUGGGUCGCGUACUACUCACAACUUGGUUUACGCAAUUGAAAUUUCUAAUUCUGCAACAAAUGAAGGAUCAAGAUCAAACAAAUAACCAGGAGAUCACAUCAGUAGUUUGGGCUACAAAAGUUGUUGGCAUAGGGCACCGAUUUGUUACAGUUUGCACCAGAACGGCCCCCUAUGGUCUCGCAACAUGGUGAAUUGGGACAUUGUUAGACAAUGAAGUAACUUCACUGCAUGUUCAACCAAGGACAGGAGAUGAUUGCAAGACAUGAAGGUUCAUUGAGAAGAAAUACAUAAGGCUGAGUUCUGAUAACUUUACCUAAGCAUUGCUGCUGAUGGACAGUGAUUAGGCUACAAAACUUUGUUUAAGUAGCUCAGGCCAUGGUAAUUGCAACUGUAAUUUUGAAAAAUCAAUUUUCAAAGACAUCACCUUCCCAAGAUCCCCACCAAAAAACAAAAAUCAGUGAGCUUCAUGUAGCUCCCACUGAUUGCGCUGAUGAUGGCUAUAUGCUUUAGCCUCAGGAUCAGAGUAUGGCCACAAUAAGCGACAGGCUCAAGUAGAUAAGUAAAGCAGGAAAAGAGAAAAAAUAAAAAUAACAUAGGUCAGCAAAAGUGAUACCGCACACAACAAGAACGUUUUGAUAAAUUAAUCUUCAUUUUAAGAUUGAAACAAACAAGGACUACAGUUUCCUUCUGCCUUUGCAGUAAAAUAUUCUAAAAUUGAAGAGGAGGUCUUGGUUAGUGAGCAUUUGAAACAAGGAAACUUCCACAAUCCCAAAUAAAAGCCUACUUGACUUUUAACUGAAACGAAUCUCACCAUGAUUACUAGGGGAAAUCCUUGGACAACAACGCCAGUCACCUCAGAGUCAAUGACGCACAAACAUCCACUUGCCAUAUCUCUCAUAUUUUGAAAAUGUUACUAUAUACCCUGCUUCCUGAAUAUCAAUCUGUCUUGUACAGUCUUCUAACCCUUAUCCACUUAAAACUUGUCUCUUUCACUACUUAGUUGAGCAUUAACAUACUCCAUGGAUUACCUUUUUCCCUUGCUAUAGGCCACCACCCAGAAAAGGAACAACAACAAAGAGGCCGGUGCAAUUUAUUUAUGAAUGCUUAAGUCUUCUUAACGAUUCUACAUAUAGCAACAAGGUCAUGAAGUUCAAGGCUUAAUCAUAACUUAACUGAACAUACUAGCGAAUUAUUCUAAACCACAAAUCCAGGAAGGUAUGGUGGGACCCCCAGCUCCUACCAGUUCACACAGAUCAUACUAUGUCUUUGCCAUGGAUUGAACGUGUUAUAAGCUGUGCAAGUAGUGCAGUACUUUCCCGAUUAUACUGAAUUUGGAGAAAUAGCCGUGCAUGAUCUAACAACGUCCAUCAAAUAACAUCGAAGAAAUCACAACUUUCAUCCAAGUAAUUUUCAGUGUUGAAAGUACAAGAAGAAAAUGAAGGUUUAGCGAAAAAGAAAAAAAAUGCAGCCACAAAUGCCAAUAUUUCAACAUUACUCGUCUACACCCCUUCCGAAUUAUCAGCAUUCACUACCAACAAAAUGCUAGCUCAUUUUCAUUUCUUAACACAUUUUUUCUUCUUUUGUCCAACUAACCCUUUCCAAACAUAAAUUCCAUCUAAGAUUAUCAACUCAAAAUUUCUGAAAUAGAAAGGCCUCUACUAAUCAAAUUGCCAAUGACAGAAUUCAAACAGAAAGUAAGCAUCCAAAACCAGCCAAAAUUACAAAACCAUAAAACACUCCAAACACAUUUCGACUAAGCCUUAAAAAGUGAAUUCGGACUUCAAAUUCCACAAAUUUUAAACUAAGCCAACACAUUCAAAGCCCUCUUUACUCGAUAAAGAACCUAAUUUACACAAAUGCACCACUUAAACACAAAAAAACCUAAACACAACUCCACAAAAAUACAGUCCCCUCAGCUCAACAGCUCAUAUCGAAUUAAAAAAAGCUUUUAAAAAAAUGAUUACAACAAAGAAAAAUAAAUGAAGUACCUUUUCAUUUUUGAAGCGAGUACGGAUAUUGCCGAGCUCUUUAUCGACGCGGAGGCGUUCUUGUUCUUUGUUCUGGCAAUUGCGGACGUCGCUGAUGAACACCGACAGCCCUCUCAUGCCAGACAACGCCAUCUCCAAGCGGUCCGAUCACAACUCCGGUCCAGAUCCAACUCAAAACGCUUGGUCCGGUUACAAUUGAAAGAUCUUAAUCCUCUGCUUUGGUUUCUUCAAAAUGAAUGCAUCUAAUCAAAAUUCCAGGUGGAAUUCACCGAGUAAAAAUCAAAAUGCUGAAAGUGAAAAAUAAUGUUUAGGGUUUGAAUUUACAAAUAGAGAGAGAACAGUGGGUGUUUGGAGGCGUGAUCUAGAGAGAGACAGAGGUGGACUGAGGAGAAAAUUUGGAAAGAGCCGUCGGGGCCCGAUAGAUAGGCUGAGGAAGAAAGACGACUUUUUUUUUCUUUUUUUUUUUUAGUAUACUACAAUUUUUUACAGCAAAUGACGCCAUCAUUUCGCUUUAUUUUUAAAUUUUUUUUAUUUAUUGACUCCGCUAUAGCAUUAACAUUUAAAACUCGAUUUUUAUUUUUCUUUUUGGGUUUGGUUUUUAGUUCCCAAUUUAAAGCUUGUUGACUGGAAAAGAACCAGAAGGAUGUGGAUCCGGGUUUCGUGACCGACCCGAAAAGGGGAUGGGUUUGUGGUUUGACCGUUUGAAGCACAAAUGCGAAAAGCCUGUUGAAAAUGUCAGAAACUUUCAUCAGUUGUUCUUUUGCCUAUUUUGUGAUUUUCCACCAAAAAUAAAAAUUUUACAUUUUCUAUGAAUACAUUUACCAGUCACCUUCUUUUCUCACAUAAAUAAAAUCGUUAUAGUACGUUUUUCUAUAAAAAAUCCUAAAUAUAGCAAUUCAAACACCUGAAUCUCCCUCUUUUUUUUUUUAUAGUUUUUUGUUGAUGAAUGCUGCCUAUGAACUUCAAGUUUAUCAUUGAUUUUUUAUUUCACAUUUGAUUAAUUGUUUUCAUAAGUUGAAGUGACCGUACGUUUUUUUGUUAGUAUUAGGCUGCAAAAAAUGAAGGCAAAAGGCUAUAAAUAUAUCCAAAGCAAAGCAACUAAUAAGGCAUAAAGAGAUAUUUUAAAUGAAAACUUAAUUGUUAUUACUGCAGUUUUAAAUAGUAGCAAAAAUAGCCAGAACAUAUGCCAUAUAGUUCUUUCAAACCUAUCUUACCAUUAAUUAGAUUGUAGUAUUGUUUUAUUUUAUCAUACGGUCUGUCUAACAGAAACUUUCUGAGCGCUUGUUAAAAUAUAUUUCAGGUAUUAAAUUUUUGAAAAUGUAAAAUUAAUUAGAAAAAAAUGUAUAAAUACAAAAAAAAAAUAACUAUUAAUAUGUAUAUGUAUAUAAAAUAUUAGAUAGAAUUUAGACGUAUUAAUGAUUGUUCAAUUGUCAUAUUUGAUCUGUUAAAAUACAAGCAUUUAGAUUCGAAAUCUAAUUAUUUAUCACACAUAGGAGACACACAUAGUAGAGUAAUUUAACUCAGACCAAAUGUUGAAAGAUUUUUUCACAAAUGGAUACUGUAGUAACGAGGGAACAAGAAAUUCAUGAAAAUCAUAGGAAUGUUAUUCAAGAAAUUCCAGUCUCCUUCCUUCAUUUUACUUGGUUCUUUCCCUUCUCGACAUCACAGAUGUAAGCCUGAUAAUACCCUUGUCGGGCGAAUACUCGACCCUAAACCACCAACUUGAGAGAGAAGGUCCAAAUAAGGCUUAUCUUUGGCGUUUCUAGAAUUGAUUCCCAACCAUAUAAUGAGUAAUGACCUGCUAUGAUGUAAACCGGUUGAACUUUGAACCAUUGUGCUUUUGGGCUUGAAGAAUUUGGCAAAAGUCGGUCCACUUUUGUGACUCUUCAUAGGCUCAUACCACUCAAUGCUGACUUGUCAAAACAACCCAUUAGAGACAAGAGGAAAUUUCGCUGCAAAUGUUCACACAUAGACUUGGGACGCUAAAAGUUUCAGCAGGGAUUAUUAGGGGUGCUCAGGGAUCAAAUAAUCCAUGUGUGUACGAUUUCACUGACGCUAAUCACAUGUAGCGAUCAACAAAAUUACAGUCCAUACUGUAACCAGCUGAAUCGGUUAAUCAGUGACCGGUUAAUCUGUGAGAUAGGAUUGAGUGUACAUGAUAAUUUAAUCUUCUUCUACGUAUAAAAAACAAAAAAGAAUUAGAUUAACAAAUCAAAUAAUAUAAUAUUUUUUCAAGUCAAUAAGAGUAUUUAAUCUUACAAUUCUAAAAAUCUAUCAACAACAUAGAAAAUCAAAACACAUUAGAUAAUUUAAACACUGAAUAUUAUAAACAUUUGUUUUCGUUUUCUCUAUUUCUUGAAAGCAAUCAAUUUUAUUUUUUUCCAAAUAAGGAUGAUAGGUUACUGCACAACCAAACAUGUAAGUUUUAAACAUUAAAAACAAAAUAUUUAGUAGAGUGAUAGGGUUGAUAGAAUUUAUGAGGAAAGAAAAGAAGUUUUGGAAAAAAAAAAAAAGAGAGAGAGAAGCAGAGUAAAUGAAAUUAGUGGCGACGCAUGUAGAAAGUGAAAAAGGUAAUUGGGAGUUAGAAUUAGAUAGAUGAGUUUAUAAGUUUUGAAAAAUAAAAUAUAUAAUAGUUCUCAUAACUCAAAUUAUUAGUAAAUUAAAUUGACUAAAUAAUUAUGAGUUGGGGUUGGGGUUUGGAUUUGGCUACUAGUUAUCCUAACCCAUCCCACAUAUCCUACACAUUUGUGCCACAUAUGCAGAUAGGUCCAAAUAAUAAUGAUUUUCAAAAAUUAAGAACCAUAUUCUAAUAUAAUUUUUUAAAUAGAUUCGAGUAACCUAAUCAUUUCAAGAAUUGCAAGUUCAUUACCCUAUUUUUUAUUUGGAUUAAUUCGAUUUUCUUGAUUAUCUACUUUUUCUUCUAUUCUUUUUGAACACCUGAUGGACUAUACAUAUAUGCAAUCAAAUUCCUGUCUUUCUACCAUGUUUACUGUACAUGUCUUUCUACCGUCCAGCUGACAUCGUGUUUGUUGUUAAAAAAUCAGAGCCAUUUCUUUCUGAUAAUUGACACAUUUUUAAGCCCAACGGAUACAUGGCACCAAACAAGCCCCAAGAUACAACAGUGCAUUCUCAAAAAAUGUUCUACUUGUUUUUCGAAUUCCCCACUCAAGCUUGAAGCAAGGACUUGCCAAAAACCAAAAUUUACAAUUAACAUUGCAUAGCUUUGAAAUAAAAUAAUUUACUUCACAAAUUUCAAUCACUUUUUUAUCUUCCCAAUUACCUUUUUAUCUCACAUACAUCACAUCACUAAAAGUGCUACAGUAAUUAUCUCAAAUAAAUCAUCCAAAUAAACUCCUAUCCAAACAAACCCAAUUUUUUUGCUUAAGCCAAGGGCAUCAUCAGUUCUCUCUCUUUCCUUUACUAUUUCUUCUUUCUGCUAUUUUCCUUCUUUUAUUUAAGCUAGGGAAAACACCACUCUCCUGGCAGCAGGGCGGGGUUGGAGAAGGGCUGGGAAAACUUAAACCAAAAAAAUCUAACCUAAUGAAUAUUUCAAUCAAUCAAA